UUUUUUUUUUUUUUUUUUUGGUGUAUAAGUGAGAGGAUUUGAAGGAGAAGGGUUGGAUAGGAUGAUAAGAUGGGAAGGAUUUUUGUGCUUUCAGUUGCACCAUUGUUAUUCAAACUAAUUCCAAAAAAUAUAUAUAUAAGGUACAAGAAACGAAGGAGAGCUACAAAAAAGAAUGAAAAAACAAAAUGUACACCAAGUGACAAAAGAACUUGGGCUAUUCUCUUGAAGUAAAAUUUUUCCAAGAAUUAAAAAAAAAAAAAAAAAAAAACACAAAGGCUACUCGUCACAUGUUGUUUCUUCUUCUAGUCAAACUAGUAGUUAAGUGAAAUAUUAAAGAGAUGAAAUGUGUUCAUAAAUCAAAUAUGCAAUUGUCUAGUAUAAUUGAUGCAAUCGUUCAAUUAGCAUGUUCUAGCUAGAGCAGCAACUUCACUGUAAAAGAAAUGUAUUCACAAUAUAUUGAAAAUAUUGAGUAUCUUCUAGACUCUAUGGCAUCGCAAAGAGUUUUGUACAAAUUCCAUGAAAAUGUAUGAUAUGUUGCCUCCAUUAAUCCCUUUUUUUUUUUUUCCUAAGGGGAGAUUUAAAGCCUUGUAAGGAGUAUCUUCUAGACUCUAUGGCUUCAAAAUAGGAUGUCACGGUCAUCUAACUAAUUCUCCCUUAAUAAUUUUAGAUGUUUAUGUAAGUAAAAGUAAUGAGGAAAAAAAAAGAUUUGUUUGAGGAAACACCAGAAAAAAAAAAAAGUAUAUUUGCUUAACGAAAUAAGACUGACACUGUGAAAUAUCUAAGACAAAGAACAGAUACUUGACAAGAAAAAAAAAAUAAUGAAAAAAGAAAAUAGAUGAGAAACUUUUAGUCCUUGUCUAACCCAACCUGAGAAACAGACGCAGUUGAUGAUGGGCCAUGUCCAAAAUUUCCACGCGAAGCCGAAAUGCUAAAUCCAAGUUCUCUGAAGAUGAACAGAGUUGUUAUUUUUUUGUGCACUUUGCUAUUGGCUUUUAAAUUUUGUCAACGAAUACUUUGAAAAACAAAAUUAAAUUGCUUAAACAAAUGCAUUUUUGCAGGCUUGCACGUCUUGAUCUUGUUUCUGCUUCUCGUUAGAUAGUUUACCUGUCAAGAAUAAAGAGAAACUCCACAUUCCCUGAGCUAGCAUCCAAAUAAGUUGUAUAAUUUUUCCAUUCAAAGGUAAAGGAUAUUUGUUUGGUUGAGAUAGUUUAGGUUAGAUUCCUUAAUCAUAUCUAAUAAUCGUGCAGCAAGCUUGUGCAUUUUGAACCAUACAACAUGAAGUUGGUCCAUUGUAUGCAUGAAAUUUAUUAUCGAAUUUUUCAGCAGUGAAUUUGUUGUACUUUAGGGAAAAAAUUAAAAUAAAAAGUUCCCAAUUAACAAAUACAAUUCAACUUUUUGCAUACAGUUUUUUCCCUUUUUUUUUUUUUUCAAAUGAGAGGUUUUGAAUCGAGGACCACCUAUUUAUAAUUUCUCCCACCUUACUAUCCAAAUCAACCCUUUCCGGAAAACUGACACCUUUCCUUAUGAGUAGAAGGAAAAUAAUACCCAAGAAAAUGCAUUGAAAAUCUCGGAUUUCAUUGAUUAACACACAAGUGUUCUUCAAGAAAUUAUUCGACAUAAUGGAAUAAUGGACCUCAACUAUGUCUGAUAUUAUGAACGUUAUAAACGCUAAAAAAUCCAGAGUCAUCACCACAACUGAGUACAUCUUGCAGAAGCAGUGGUUCAAAUUAACUUGCCAUCUUCUUUUACAUCAACCUGUCAACUUCUCCAUUCUUGUUAUCAGUUGAGUGUCUGCCAGCUAAAAUCAAUAGACAAAAUGACCAGGAUACGUAUGCUGCACGCCUUCUAAUAUGUGGUACUAUUACUUUACUUCCACAGCAUUCAACAGUAUUCAAGAAAUACAUGCGCUUUCUGAUAUGUAUAUCGGAUUUCACGUAAUGAGAAUUUUAAUCAACUUAUUUAUCAUAAUCUCAAGGGUCAUUAUCUUAUGUUUCAAAUUGAAAGAGAGAUUUGUCCGGCAGGUCAUUAGCUACUGCUCGGAUCACCUAACACCCCGACUUCAAUUAUUCCUUACUUGCUGCAAAAAGAGAAAACCAAGUAAGGAGAUGGAGUAGUUAGUUUGAUAUCAAGUAAUCCUUUUUUUUUUUUUUUAAUUCACUUGGGACUUGGCAGACGACGCCAAUUUUAGAUUUGGGGUUAACAAAGAAAUUGAUUAGGACGUCAUUUAAAAAGAAAAAUACGCAUAGCCCCUCUCUCCCUGCAACAAAUAAUGAUAGUAUUUAACUGAAUGAUGAUUAAAAGCUGUUGGAGGUAUUUAUGGUAUGGAACACAAAUCAGUGCGAGGAAACUGGUCCUAGAAAGUUCAUGCAUUAAGGAAGAUCAUGAUGAAGUACAAUGCUUUCUUGCCACAUUCUGAGUCCGAUAUUCAGGCAACUACAGCCGCAACCACAAGGAUAAACAAGAAGAAAGGAAGCACUCUCAACUCUGGAAAAGAGACUGGGGCACCACCAUCUUCCUUGAGGUGGAAAAGUUGUGCUAAAGUAUCAGCACAUCUGAUGGUUGAUGGUUUUAUGCCUUUCUCCAUCAAACUGAAAAUUCUGGCACAUGCAUGUCUUGGCAUUCUCCAUACUAGCGAAUUUGGAUCAGGGCAACUGAACAAGUUGAUCAAUAUAUAUCCACGUGAUGUAUUUACUCCUCAAACAGAGACACUUCAGCAACGUGAGCAUGUCGUAAUAAGCUUGCCACUAGUGAAAACAUGGGUCUAUAUUUGAAAGAUAUGCUGGGCAGUCAACAAUUGCAUCAGAUGAUAUUUUAAUGAGGAUAAAACAUAAAGAUUUACAUACAAAAUUUCCUAAUGUUUGGGCUACCAAUCAUGCAGGAACAACUUAGAUAUGGCCACACAUAGGUGAAAGAAGUCGGGGGAAGAAAUCAAGAUUACCUGUGAGUGACAUCUAUCCGAAAAUGAUAGCCAAUCUAUGGACUAUUUUAAUCGUUUCCAAGCAUGCAUUUGGAUUUUGGUCAUAGUUCAACCAAUAGAACUUUUUCUCGUACGUUAAACAUAUCAAACAAUAUGAUUCUGUGACAUGAUUAAGGCAAUAUAAUAAACCUAGUAAAACCUUAAAAAUAUAUCUUGUUUUCCGUACUGUUUGGGCUGCUCAUGCGUUACCUACUAUUCUUUGGUUAUAAAUACACUUAGACUUCAGCAGAAGGCUUGUGUCUUAGUCUAAGUUAAUAUGACGAUUCUCGGUAUGAGAGCUUUCUUUCUGAUUUGCCUCUUUUCUCUUUUGGGAAUUCAAGCAAGACCUUUGCUAGGUAACUUUCACGUUUCAACUCCUAACUAUGCUUCCUCGUUAUCAGGGAUUUGAAUUUAAAAUCUAUUACUAAGCAGCCUGAAACAACAAUGGCAUACCAUUGUCUCUGUGCUGCUACUUCUUCCACUAUAUAAGUUGGAUUUAGUGAGGCGCAGACUCUAAAAUGUUCAAGUCAGUAUACUUCACACUCAUUCUUGCAGUGGAUUUUCUUAUUCAAUCUUAAUGUUUCAUGAUACUUGAUCUUGUGAUCUGGUGUCUUCACUGAUUUCAGUUCCUUUCAACACUUUCCACAUUUUCCUCUAAUUAAUAUGUGAACGAAUGCAUAACAAAUUUCAUUACUAGUUAUUUCUGCUCUAAUUUGUUAUGAUAUCUUUGGAGGCUUAAAUGCUUACCCUUCUGCCAAGUCAUUCUUUCCUUGUACGAAUUAAUGAUUGUUAUGCCAACUAUUUUCAGGUUCAAUCCAUUUAUCUCAAGAUUUAUUGAUAUAUUGUGCAUGGUACCAUGCAGUUCCUGGAAAGUACUAAUGGAUGGUUUAAAAUCUUUUGAUUUUGCACGUUACUAGCUUGAUUACCUAACGAUUUCCUUGCGCUGCAGAGCAUGGUUACACCUCUAUGGUCGAGUCAAAUGACGGAACUCCUGCUCCUAAGAGUGUAGACAAAGUCCUGUUGAGGAUGAUCAUAACUUACGAGCAAGCACCAGGCUUGCAUCUGGUUCAACCGUCCUUGGCAACCAGCUAUGGAAGGACUCUUUCACCUCCUCCUCCACCAAUGCCAGCAUCACCAACUCACUAUCAUGAAGCAAGCCAUGGAGUCGAGCAAACGCCAGGCUUACAUCUGGUUCAACCGUCCUUGGCAACCAGCUAUGGAAGGACUCUUUCACCUCCUCCUCCACCAAUGCCAGCAUCACCAACUCACUAUCAUGAAGCAAGCCAUGGAGUCGAGCCAACGCCAGGCUUACAUCUGGUUCAACCGUCCUUGGCAACCAGCUAUGGAAGGACUCUUUCACCUCCUCCUCCACCAAUGCCAGCAUCACCAACUCACUAUCAUGAAGCAAGCCAUGGAGUCGAGCAAACGCCAGGCUUACAUCUGGUUCAACCGUCCUUGGCAACCAGCUAUGGAAGGACUCCUUCACCUCCUCCUUCACCAAAGCCAGCAUCACCAACUCACUAUCAUGAAGCAAGACAUGGAGUCUAUGAAUCACCUCCAAAUCCCUUCCUAGCCUCAAGCUAAAGCUUGUUCUGACUGAUCAAAGGUGUGGACGGUGAAUAUGCAUGAAGAUCUUCUAGUCUAAGUUCUAGUAUUACUUGUAGUAGCCGCUUGAAGCAAUAAAGUCUUUUCUGCUGCUUGUGCUUUUCCCUUAUAAAUGUAACUUCCACUAUGUAGUUGGCAAAUAUGAAGUUGGUUUCUGUGGCUCUAAGGAUCCAUGCAUUCAUGAGUCUCAGCUUAGAAUUUUUGGUUAACAUUCGAUUUGCUAUUUUCCUUUUUCACCUUUUAUAUCCUUAUAAGGUCGUUGAAGCUCCAGACACGAUUCGGCUCUAAUGUCUUGAUUCUCGGCACAAUGAUCCGGUUCCAACGUUCUUGAGAGCAAAAGACAUAAACAGAUGUAAACAAAAAAGAGACUGUCUGAGAACACAGACGUUUUCUGGUAAAUCCUUGGGAACGUAAAGGAAUUAUGCGUUUGGAAGAUUUUUUAAAAAUAAGUACUCUAAUACUAUGUGUGAUAUAAUAUAUGUCGUACGCAAGAUUAAAAAAAAUGUUACUAAAAAGGUAGAACGUAAUUCAAAAAAAUAUGUUUGUGACAUAAACAAAAAAGAAAUUUCAAAUAAUAAUGUAUUCAAUCACAUUUUGUACUGCAUGCAUCUUUGAUAAUACGAAAGAAAAUGAAAAUGAAAUUUCGGAAAAACAAAAAGGAAGUAUGAAACUUAACCGAGAAAUACAUUAAUCUUUAGCAUCAUCAGGACAAUAAUUUUUUAACUUUUCUAAGUAACAAGUGAAGUCUUGAUUAAAGAAGAUUCAUUUACGAAAGGAUCGGAGUAGCAAAUUAUAGACCUAUGAUUAAUUGAAGUGAUAAAUUAGCUCCGGGGAGGAAUACGAAUGACCCCACUAGGUGAAGACCUACAUAAGAGCAGGGGGGGAAAAAAGAAAAAAGAAAACUCGUACUAAUAAAAAUGAUAUAAAGCUUGAUUUCCUAUUAAAUGUGCAUCAUCAUAGAGGACCUGUUGAAUAGGAAAAACAUACCGUAUUGAUGCCAAAAGUUUUAUAAUUAGUCAGCAUACACAGAACACUAAUUACCUUGGACUUUUUCUUUUACAUGAAAUAAUCCAAUUGUACUAAAUUUUUGCAGAACUUUCAUGGCUAGGAAGGUAGAGUUAUCUGAAAUAGCUCUAUUUUUAAUUUUAAUGGACAUUUGUAAUCAGACCCUCAAUCCACUUAUUGAUUUGUUCUUUUACACUAAAUCAAACUAUCAUCCUUCUAUUUUUAAUUUUGUUUUUCUUCCAAUCAAAAAAAUUAUUUCCUUUCUUUCUCUCAAGGGAUAAUGGCAGAAACCUCCCUUGAGGUUUUUAAUAAUUUCACUUGGCUCCCCUAAAAUUUCAAAAAUUACACCUACAUCCCUAGCCCAUUUAAAAUGACAAUGCUAACUUUAAUAUUUUUAAUAAAACUCUCUUGCUACCAUGCUUAUGGAAAGGAAGGAUUUUAUAAUUUUUUAACAUUUUUUCUUCUUAUUCAUUUCUCUUUUAUUUUAUUAGAAGUAUAGAAAAACUAUCAAUGUUGUCCCUAAUAUCUAUCCAAAUUAAACAUUAAACUAGUAUUAUUUUUUUUUGAUAACUUUUAAUAUCAUCCAAUUUUUUUGUAACUUUUUUUUUGUUUCAAAAUCAAGGAUAUGUCAACAAUGAUUAAAAACAAAUAACCCAAAAUCACUACUAAAUUAUGAUAGUUUCAUCAACAAACUAGUCCAUAAACUUUUAUUAAAAAAAUAGUCCAUAAACUUUAAAAGAAACAAAUUAUUACUUUUUUCUCUAUCUUAAAAAGAAUUUAUAUUUCUAAUAAAGCACCAUGAAAAAUACCCUAUUCUAACAAAAGAUUUAUUAUAAUAGUUGAUUAUCAAAUAACAAAUAUUGGCAUGAAAAAAUUGACACUCUUUUUGUUUAGAAAAACAAAUUGAAUUUUAUAAGGUAAGGACAUUUUAAGGUAUUCAUUAAAUUUUUUACUUUAUUCUAAAGUUUGAUUACCAAAGUGUCAAGUCAAGCGAGGUAAGUGUACCUUUUAAAACGUGAAGAGAACUAAGUGAAAUAAUCCCUUUUCUCAUUAAAUGAGUCCAAAAAAAAAAACAGAAAUGUUGUCCCUGAAAUGCCAAAACUUAGAUGUUAAAGUGUAAUUUUACUAAAUUUUAUGGUCAAAAUAUAACCUCAAAUUUAUCCAUUUUUAGAUUUUUAUAAAGUUAAUCCUAAAUCUGCACUCGCGUGGUAUAGGUGACCUGCUAAACCCGGCAGAUUUUAGAAAUUCUUUUUUUGAAUUACUUUUUUAUCCAAUUUUUUAAUUUGACUAAUCACACCAACAUCAGCAUUGUCGUCUUCUCUUUGGACCUAAUUGUAAUAAUAUUGAACUUUUUAGGGGCCAAAUGCUAUUUUACCAAAACUUAGAUGUUAAAGUGUAAUUUUACUAAAUUUUAUAGUCAAAAUAUAACCUCAAAUUAAUCCAUUUUUAGAAUUUUUAUAAAAUUAAUCCUAAAUCUGCACUCACAUUGGUAUAGGUGAUCUGCUAAACCCGGCAGAUUUUAGAAAUUCUUUUUUUGAAUUACUUUUUUAUCCAAUUUUUUAAUUUGACUAAUCACACCAACAUCAGCAUUGUUGUCUUUUUUACAAUUAGAUGAAAAAAAAUUGAAAACGAAUUUGAAAAUUAGGGUUUCUUUCUUUCUUUGACACUUAGAUUUAUCAUUUAUGUUUGUAUAUAAUAUCAAUAUGAAUUCAUAAACUAAGGAAUACAUAUGGGUAUGGGUUGUGUGUAUGAACUAUGAACUAUGAAAUAUGAAAUGGAUUAUGGUUUAUUAAUAUUUAAGAAUUUAUGUACUUAUAUUAUAAUUUAUAUGUUUAGUUAUAUUAUAAUUUAUAUGUUUAUUUAAUUAUAUUAUUUUUUAUUACAUAAUGUGAUCCAACGGUCCAGUUGAACCAUUAACCCGCCAACCUGAUGUUGCUGCUGUGUUGAUGCCGGAUUGGUUUUAAUAAUUAUGCUAUCAACAUCCCCAUUCUUGGACCAUCGCAGCGUGUGCAGUAUCACUAGGUUUGUUUGGAUAGAGUAUUAUUUGAAAUAAUUACUGUAACAUUUUUUAUGAUGUGAUGUAUGUGAGAUUAAAAGGUACUCCCUCCCUUUUUUUAUAACUGACGUCUAAGAAAUUUGUUCUAGUGUAUUUUUAUCUGUCGUUUUAUUAUCCCCAUACAGUAUUAAUUAUUUUUUCACAAUUUUACCCUUUUAUCUCUCUUUUUCAAUACAGGGUUCUUAAUUACUACUCCUAGUAAUUAUUGCAUUGCUUUUGGCCUAGUAAAACAGCACCAUUUAGUACUCUAGUGAGAGAAAACAUGGGUGAAUUGGAUAAUUAAUGAGGGUACAAAAGGAAAGUAGUUACAGAUUUAAGCAAUGAAAAAUUUUUCUUAAUUGGUGUGCAAAACCUUAAACGUCAGUUAUAAAAAAAGGGAGGGAGUAAUUAAGAAUAUAAAAAUGUGGGUUGAAAAAUGUGUUUACGAUACAAGUGAAAUAUUAUUUAAAAUAUUUGUACUAUUAUGACGUGGGCUCGUACAUUUCUUUGACUCUUGUUAGGCGGGGAAGUUCACAAUUUUUUAUUCUUUUCUCGAUUAACCCUUUUCAAUCCUUGGCUUAGUAAUUGUCUUUUCCGGGUGCCUCCACGUGAAUGGGCUGGUGGUUGGCGCCUCCUCCUCGGGACCGUUAGGUCCUGGGGUCGAACCUCCGCAGCAACAUCAGGUAUAAAUGGGGGCCGGGUCGGAGUGGGGAUUAGUCGGGCCGCCUUUACGGACUUGACCCGGACACCCCACUCCGUCGACAAAAAAAAAAAAAAAAAAAAAAUUGUCUCUUUCCGGGUACUGAAGAACUGUGAAAAAUUGCUGCCCAGCAAAAUAUCAACACUCCAAAGUCACCGCUUGCCAUUUCAUGAUUUCAACCACCAACAUGUUUCCAACAGCCUGAGAGUCGGAAAUGUAUUGCGGAGAACAAACAAGAAAUACCUGGUCCCUUCUCAGUAAUAUUUCUCCGUCAUAAAUAGUGUAAACAAAUUUCUUCGUAUCGCCGGCGUUAGGGUUUUUCUUAUCGGAACGGCUCAAGAAUUUGCGGUUCGUUAAUUUAAUCUCUCUCGAGUUUAGGGGUUUAAACCCCUCCAAGUCCAAGCCUUUCUUUGCUACCCAAGUUCUUUUUUAUUAUUUAUUUAUUUAUUUGUUUUUCUUGGCGCAUUGAACAUUUCUUGAAAUUUAGGACGGGCGGUUCGCGCACCUGGGACGACGUAGAAGCAUAACCUGCGAGACGGAAUAGGUGUUUAUUCAGUAAAACGCUGCUGGCCUGGCAACUGGCAUGGUGUUUGAAACCUAAUUAGCUGCUGCAAAUUAUCCCUGAAAUUACCCCUUUUCUCAAACAACCAAAUGAGCCCAUAGGCCUCGGGGAGCCGUAACUCAUAAACGUUGUCCUAAGAAAACGAUUUUUCCCUGCUGGAGACUCACUCUCCAUAGCAGGUGCGCGACACGGGUCGGAUUCGGAUUAGUCGGGCAAAGCCCGGAUACCGGGCGGGCAACCAAAAAAAAGAAAACGAUUUCUUCCUUUCACUAGAGGUCUAGAAGCACGCUUUUUAAAGAUGGUAUUGCUCGAAACAGAAACGAAGUACAGUCCCUCUUUCACUCUUUAGCGCUUAUUUCUGGAAAAAACGGACAAAAUGGCGAAGAAGGAGACUGGAGCUUCUGACGUGCGAAUCGACAGCGUAGUAAUAACACCAUGGAAGGCCCUUCUAACGAACGUAACCUGCGGAGUAGGAUUAGGAGUAGCUUUCCAUGCUGCCAAUAAUUUCUACUCCAUCAAUUUGAUUCAAAAUCCGGCAAAAACCCUCCGUCUGAUCUGGGUACUGACCAUAUCUAUCAAUUCCUGUCAACUCCAAGUUGAUUAUUUCUCAUUUUUUAGUUUUCUAAUCUCUCUCUCUCUUUUUCAAUUGUUGGUUUGAUUUUUUGAAGGUUAUUGAGGCUCCAGUCGUGAUUCUGCUGUACAGUCUCUUUCGACAUCGUCCUAAUCAAUGCUCUGUAAUUCCAAUUAAUCCCAUUUCCUCGUCUGAUUAAUUUCUUUUUUUUUGUUGGUUAUUUUUAUAUGUUAAUCUCUUCUUUUUAACUAUUAAACGAGGUUUUGAUAUGUGUAUUGGACAGUACUUGAAAGCCGUAGUACGAGGUUUGUUGGCACUACCUGCUGGUUAGUCGUUCAUUGCUUUUUUGUUUUUAUAUAAUUUAAUUAACUUUUAUCACUCAAACUUCUUGGUUAAGUGGUUGGGAUUUCAAAAGUUGCAAUCUUUAAUUGCUCUGUGCUCUUUAUUUUUGUUUCUUAUUAUUUUUUAAAAAUUUAUGAAGUGAUUUCUUUCUUUGAAGGUUAAUGAUGUACAAGUAAUAGAUAAAGUUGAAGGCUUUGAGAAGUAAUUUUUAGUAAUUUAUAGGUUGAAAAGAGUUACGCUAGCACUGUUUAGCACUUGUACCUGUAAAAAGAUAGGUUAUUUGAAUACAGAACAAGGAUAUUACUUGAGGACUCAUUCUUACACAACUUUCUAUCUUUUGUUUCAAUACUUUGCCUGCACUAGUGGUAUAAUAGCUUUAUAGCUGAAUGUUCGUCUGUCAAUACUUGCUUAACAUUUUUUGUUAUUUUGUUGUCUUUUUCAUUAUAUUGGAUUCUAAGUAUGUUGGUUUUUGCAUGUAAAUACACAGGGGCAGUAGUGAAUGCACUUGGAGCUAUAGCAUUGGGAGCACCCAUGAUUCAGUAUGUAACUUAUCUGGGUUGUUUCCAGUCUAUUUAUUAUGAUUUUGAGAACUACUGAGGUUAAACUUCAGGUUGGACAAAUGGUCUCUGUUCUAUUCUAUCCCAUGGUACAGAACUGCUCGUCGAUGUUAUGGAGUAUAGCAAAUCCUAGACUAUCUUGCACUGAAAUGGGUGAAUAGCAGUAACCAUUACUAUGAUCAAAUAGACAUGUGCAGAAUAAUACAAAUCCUGAGUAGCAAGCAUGAAAAAGAGUUUUUUUUUUUUAAAUUAUAGUUCAGGAGUUAUUUUGACACUUCACAACUAUUUUGUGGAACAAAUUGAGAUAAUUUUCACAGUUUUUAUCGUUAUCUUGGAUCGGAUGUUUUAUUCUGUGGUUAAUUACAGGAACUUCAACAGGACCCUCCACUGGUCUCUUCUGAUGUCAGUGCUUACUGUAAGUGUUUCAUUUGACAUCUCAUUUGCCAUUCUGUAUCUCAUGCUUCAGUAAACUCCUGGAUCAACUGGACUAGCUCCGAAAUUUGUGCUGGAAACCUAGUAACUUGAGGUAAAAUUUGCUUUGUUUUUGUAAGUAAUCAUAGAUAACCAUCAAAUUUUCCUCUGUGCCAUAAGGAUCUUAAUCAGUCAUUUCCUGGUCUGUAAAACUUCUGCUGCUGUUGGCAGUGUGUCCCAGCAGCUUCUGUGUUUGGUUCUUCUUGGGCUGACUGGCACCGGAUAUUUGCUCACACAAAGUAAGCAUAUGAAACUAAUGUGAUUUUAUUUUGCCGACAUCAUUCCCUUUUUGUUUUUCUAGCAUUGAGAAGUAAUACUCGUGUUAUUUGACUUCUGCAAUUGUUCGUAACUUUUUGUUAGGCCAAGUGGACCUAUAGAGUACAUGAUCUGCCUACCUGCUCAUGGAGCUGUCAUUGGAGCAUGGUUUGGCGCUUGGCCAAUGCCACUUGACUGGGAAAGACCAUGGCAGGUAGGCUUACCUUCCUAUCGAAUACCGGUCAUUUGAAACUUAGAUGAUUUUUGCAUUCCUUUUAUCUACAGUUUUGACUCUCUCUCUCUCUCUCUCUUUUUUUCUUCUUCUUCUUUUCUUACUGUGUACAUCAAGAGUUUGUUCAUCAAGAACUUAGUAGUAAGAGUGGCUCAGAAACCAUUGAUACCUUCAGGAGUGCCCUGAGGUCUACCAUCACAUGGCCAAAAAAUCUUCUCUUGUUACAUUCUCCAAAAUAACACAAAAGUAAAGUAUGGAACUUGAUAUGUUAAUGCAGCGUAUGAUAUAGUCAGGGUUCCCUGUUGACAAUUCAAUAAUUGAUGCUUAGCUUUCAUGGUUAGAUUGUUGUGUUGGCUCUGAUAUUCUUGUUGUUCACUUUGCCUUUUCAUAUAAAGAUGCCAUAUUAACAUUGCCUUAGUAUGAAUUUUAGACCCUGCACAUGAAAUUGAGUCUUGAAAAGCACUGGAGAGAUGGUGAGGGUUUACGCAUAGUAGUCCUGAUGUGGUUCUGAUAAUUCCAUGAUGUAGUGAUGUGUUGAUAUAUUGUUCCAAGCAUAAUCUCCUAGGUCAUGUUAGUUGCAAUGGUUUUGGUAAAUGUACUUGACCAUAUAUGUUCGAGCUUGGCAAUUAGAUUCUAACUGUUGGAUAUUGUUCAGCCUUGGUUUGCAGCAUGUGGUUCAGUUGUCAUGCUUUGUACCCUGAGACUGAAAGUAUUUGAAUUUGUUUGUAGGACUGGCCGGUUUGUGUGAGCUAUGGAGCUUUGGCUGGGUACUUUGUCGGGAUGGCGGCAGCUUUUGGUUUUGUCCUCUUCCUAAAUAAACGAAGGCAUGUAAAAGGAGACUAAUGAUGGAGAAUUCGACAUUAAUCUUAUUGGAGGUUGCUAUCGAUGACCCUAUUGAUAGACUGAGUUGCAUCCAGCUGACCAUAGGACCUCACCUGCUGAGCGGAGGUUUUGUAAUUUUUUCCCAGUAACACUACAAAACUCAUCCCUCCCCAGAACUUUUCUUUUUGCCCGGGCAAUGCAAUUUGCAGAAACUUAGAAGUACCUUUGGUUCCCACUGGAAGUUCAUUCUUUACCCUUUCUUUUCUCUUUCUUUUUCCCACUGUAACUCUAUUUCUUCCAUUAUGAUCUGCUACUGUCUUCUAAAGGGAAAAUCCUCGUCUGGUGUAUGCUGAGGUUGUGAACAAGAAGGAUGUUAUUCCUGAGAGAUUAGCAUCCAUGGCACACAUUCCUCAAAUUUUCGCUUUCCAUUGUGAAAAGCUUGAAUUACUGAGUCCUGGUUUUUGCUUACAGGUGAAGAUAUUUCACAGCCAUUGUUUAUGCUUUGUCUUUCAAAUAAACUUUGGGCAGAUGGGACACUUUAUACCUUUUUUUAACCCACCAUGUUUGUACAUUUCCACUUCUCAUUGACUCACCAUGACUUUUGACGAGGAUAAGCAGAGACACAAACCAGGUCACCACUCAUCACCCAUCACUCACUAAUCUUGUAAUAGUGCUGCAAUUAAUGAUGCAAGGACCAGUACGUACCCAAAUCUUAUUUGUCCAUUUUCUAAAUCUACCCAAGAAAAAAGUAUGGUACCAUGCCAACUGAUCUUUUCCUUUUCAUGCUUUACCAUGCUACGAAUGAGGGAUUAGGCAACAAAAUACCAAAAAAAUAAUAAUAAUAAAGAAGGAGAAUUUUGUUUAGCAUUCAAGCUCAUCAAAAGGCAAUUCAAGCCAUUGGCCAACAAGCCUAGCGGUGGCGGGAAAAUUUACCGGACGAUAACGAGCACCCUUUCUUUCCAAGCCUCCGGUUCUGUAACUCCGCGUUCUCGUCACGCCAUGUUAUGCGUACGUGCAUGCUAGACUUCCAUAAAAGCCCUUGGGCAUUCCAUCACAAUGACAAUAUUGCCCCAACAAUGACCAAAUGUCGUGCCAUUAUAGGCUCGUCACUCAUCAAACUGUCACAGCCGGUCAAGCUACCGGCACUGCCACAUCAUCGAGGAGCUCAACCCGCGAUGCCCCAGAUGGCUCCUCUCUUUGUUACACGUGUAACGGAGAAAAUUGCAAAAGUGGGCCCUACAACCGAACCCUUUAAAACUCUCUUAGAGCCCUAAGCGCCAAAAAAAAAAACCCCCACCUUUCCCCCUCCCCUCCCCUAACCCCAGGCCACUCUCAAGUCACAACCCCCAAAAUCUCUCAAAAACCCCUUCACUUUCUCUCUCUAGAAAAAAUCGCUUCUUUGAAAUUUCUCCGAUCAUCUGUUUCCAUCAUCAACUGGUACCUCCACUUCAGCAACUGGUACUUGUUUUUAACAUUUCUAUAUGCAUAUGGGUUUAGUUCUCGAUUUUAAUUUGGAGCUUUUCUUCUUUUUUUUUUUAAAAAAAAAUUCUUAUUUAAGCUUUAUUUUUUUGCCUGUCCUGUAUUUAAUGUGUUCGGUGCCUUUUGUUUUUUCUUUUUUGGUUGUUGGAUGAUGCAAUUUUUAGACUUCUGUAAUUCUUUUAGUGCUUUUGGUGUGGUUUCUUGGAUUAUCGUAACCAUUAACUGUGGGCAUGUCUGGGCUUUUGGAAGUCUACAACAAUUUUCGAAGAUAUUAAUCGCAACAGGGUUUAGGGCUUUUCUAGAAUUGGAGGUUGUAUUCAUCUGUUUGCUGUGUAUAUCUUGCGCACAGAUGGCGGUUUUUUUUUUUUUCUUUCUUGAAAUGUUUGAGCUCAAAUUUUGCUGGGUGAUUUCCAUCCGAUUUCUCAUUAUUGGGACUCACAAAUAUUACCAGCAAAUUAUUUCAUGUCUUGGUUCUGAUGAAAAUGUUAUUGAGGGAGAUACUGUAUUUACCUAUAUGCAUACAAACGAAUUGCUGAUACCCUUUUUCCUCCCUUUUUUUUUGGGUACUUAGACGGGAUUUAUUGAUUUGAGCAAUAAAUGGGCACGAUCACUGUUCAGACAAGGUGGUUUAGGACUCUCUCUUUAUUAGAUCUUAGGUUUGUGUGCUUUUUGUUAAAUUUGGAGUAUUCAGCAAGAAUUAUGCCAGGUUUUGUUAAUCGCUGGCGAGAUAGUGUGCACCUACUUUCCAAUUUUGCAAAUGUGAUGUAAUUAUCCCUUUAUUCCAUUUCAAGUUCUUUUUGCACAUUUUACUUGAGAAAUGAGAUUUGAUGUGUUCACCUAUAGAAAUUGCUUAUGCUUGGUCUUCUCCCUUUAACUGUCAGCUUCUACUAAUCUUGAUCAGUUUAGAGAUUUGCUUGUAUGUUUGCUGGUGCUGGGUAUUUUGCAUUGACAUUCUACUGUGUAUCGUUUUACAGAGUUAGACUGGUAGACAUCACUCUCUUGACUUGUCUCUCCACUCUGAAACUAAUUAUGGGAUUUGACAAGCCAAAUGAUGAGCAAUAUCCACCCAUGCCAUUGCAGGGUGAUGGUGGAUGUAUGUUUGCCAGUAGGGAAGGUGGAACUGUUGACUGUGGUCAGAAUUUUCCAAGCUGUACCAGUUCUGCUGACUUUUCAUUCCCAUAUGUAUCUCUGGCUAAUUCUGCUUGGAAUGACAUGCAUGCAACCCAUCAUUCUUACCCACAUGACCUUAGAAAUGGUAGCCAUUUGAUGACUGGUCUAAUGGGGCUUGACAACUUGCAAAGUCAGGACAACCUUAAUUUGCAUAGUCUCAGAGGUAAUGUGUUUAUGUACCUUGGCAAUCUCAGAGCUUCUGAAAGUUUAUAUCCUGAAGGAAAAUUAGAAAAGAUGUUGGUUAAUUAACUAAAGUAAUAUUGUUAUUUCAGGUAGCUUGAGGAAUGUAGAUGUUCAGAAUACUCAGGCUAACAUAAAUUUUUUGCCAACUGGGAGUAAAGCUGCUGGAGAUUACCAAAUGAAUGUUCUGGGAGGAGAGGCAGAAGGUAGUACCGUAAACUGGUCACAGAUUAGUGAGAGUUCUUUAAAUUUAGGAUGUGGUGCAUCCUUGUCACACCAAAAUACAAGUUUCCUUGAAGCUGGAGUUAGAAAUGAUGUCAAAGUAAAUGCCUUCCAUCCAAGACAAGUGGACGGAAGUUUUUUAACCCUUGGAAUUGGAGGUAAUCCAGAGACAAGAGCUAAAUCUAAAUUUGAUUCCCGAGAGGUCGCCAAUAAACUGGUGGAAGCAGUUGGGCCCCAAAGCAGCAGUUCCCAAAUUCAACCUGCCACAAGUCUAUCAAGUUUUCAAACUUAUCCUGGCUGUUCUCCAAGUACUGUAUACAAACUAGGUGACUGGACAACCUCUAAAAAUGUUGAUGCUAUUGUUGGGAUGCGUUCAAGCCCAUUUAUCAGUCCUCAGAUGCCAGAAGCUUUUAAGCAAUAUGAUUUCUUUGAGAAUAAUGCUAAGAAUACAAGUUUUGUCGAUGAGUCUAUGGGAAGAAAUUCUGCACUAGAAUCUUAUAAAUUUUUUCAAGGUGAUCCUUCUCCAUCUUCAUUGCCGUUUAAUAGCACUUAUGCUUGCGUCCCCCAACCUGGAUAUACCAAACAGUCAGAGUUGGGAUCAGAAGCCUUCGAGUCUACCUGGGUGUCCACUCAACCAGCCAGAGACCUUCUGUGGAAUUCUCAUUCUAUAGAGCCAGGAAAUAUCUCAUCCUCCUUUGGUUCCCAUUGUAGCAGCCUGAGGGAUGUCUCUCUCCCACAGGAUUACUUAGGUGAGUUUUAGAAGUUGUUUCCUGUCUCUUGUCACUUACGAGUGUAGAUUACAAAUUUGGCUGGAAGGUUGUCAUUUUUAUGUUUAUCUCAUAAACAAAGUCAAAGUUGGGUUCAAUGAUUUUUAUUGUCAUCAAGCUGUCUAAGUUUCUUUAUGUCUUGAAUGACCAAAUUACGGUUGCACAAAGGUCCAUAUUUUUUAAUUUACUUCUUUAGAAAAAAGGAGGAAUUGUUUCCCCUUUUUUAUGACAAAACUAGUAUAUGGAUAAAGUCACAAUCCAUGGCAGGCAAUUUCCUUGGACUGAGAUGGAAGCUUUUCAUUCAAGUGCCCAAAGUGAUACAUGCCUACAUUCACUGUUGUUGUGAAUUCUCUAGCAGCAUGACAACUUUUCUUAUUGCAUUGAGUGUAAGCUUAUCUGUAAUUUGGGUUGUAGACUGUGUAGAAAUUUGCCAAUUAAUAAAGAUUUAUAAGGUAAUGAGAGUUGGAAUUGAUUUUGAUUUUUGCUGUUCCACACCUGAGACAGAGAAGCAAAAAAUGUUAGCUUGUGUUAGUAUAGCCAUUAUCACUUAGAACAAUCUGUGAACCUCAACUUCAGGAAUUUCUGUGCUUCCAUCAGAGGGUUGUGCAGCUCAAGCUGUUGGAAGUGGUGAUCAGUGUGCCAGUGGUCAGCCAGAUGGUGAGUGCAUCUCAUUUAUGCGUAUUUGCAUCACAUACAAAUGUACAAACUCCUUACAUGCCAACUACUUUGCAUUUUAUAUGCAAUUCUUUGUUUAAGAAGCUUUUGAAACUCCUUUGGCAUUACCAUUUUUCUGCCAAUUAGGAGAAAAAGGAAAAGCUUUUGUCAGAUAUCAAGAACGUGUUCACAUAAACACAAUGGCCUGAUCUACUUUUCUGUUAGUUCUUUAACAUUAUUUUGUAGCCUAGUUCAAUUUGGAUGGAAAUGAGAUUAUCUCAAGUAGUUUCUUUCCUUUAAAUAAAAUUUCUUCAAGUGAUUAUGGCCGUGGUAUCUCACACAGGAAGUGUUCAUUUAUUAUUUUACUCGGCCGUACCUGAUCUUUUGUAUGUCCAAUUAAAGUGAUUGUGAUCAUGACUUCUACAAUGUACUGAACUUGUUAAGUUUGGGGCUUGGGAACUAGAGGAAAAUUUGUGGAGUUUGCGAUAGUGUAUGGUCUGAUAGUGCUUAAACUAAAUGUUUUUCCCCUCGUAUAGAAUCAAAUAACAGCAAAAUGGACCAAUAUUUUUCAUCUGCUAUCCUUGAAUUAACUAGCACAAUGAAGUGAGCAAAUUUCAUGGUAAGCAUUUACUUGCUACUAUUCUUCUGCAGGCCAUGUAUCUUCUCCUUACAAGGUUAAUUCUGCACCGCAUUUUCGAAGCACCAAUUAUCCCAAGAAUACCAGUCUUCUGAUUGCAGAGGGUAGUGCUAACAAGCCUGCUAUACGUGCUCCAUUUCCUCGAAGGCUAGGGGUACAAAUUGAUGAUCCUGCUGCUACUCAAUCCGCUACUGGAAGUGUAUUAUCCGAGAAUAUGGGAGCCCAGACUAGGAGUAAGUAAUUCUCAAUUCAAAAGCAGCUCAAUCCUUUUCAUGAUGCAGUUGAAUAUCAUAUCCUGUGGGCUGUUUGAUUUAGUAUAUUGGGCUGCAUUUUUUCUGUUUUGUCCUUCUUGAGACCUUAACAAGAAUAGUGCUUUAAGGAUGACUACAGCAUUUUUGACACCCCAAUGCUCGAAAAAAGUUCACCACCCACCAGAACCCCCCAAAAAGGGGGAAAAAAGAUGAGAGAGAGGGAGAGGGAGAGGUUUUUUUCUUUUUUUUUGGGGGGGGGGGGGGGUUGUGUGUGUGUGGAGGAGAAGAAAGCACCAGUUGUGAAUUCCAUAGGCUGGUUUCUAGUAGUCAAGUAUGCAAAAUGCUCUAGUUUAGCCUUUGGUUGACUGCAUAUUAGUGAUCUAUGUUGGCUCCACUUUUUUGCUUUUCAUUAUUUGUGUUUUGUGUGUGACAAGAAGCUUUUCCUAGUGUGACUUAUCAGGGAAGCAGGUUAGACUGGCCCCAUACUAAGAUAGUUCCUUCAGUUCAACUGAUGUUACUUGAAAAUUGUGUCGUGUUGAGCUAAUUUUGGUAAUAUGACUCAAUGUCAAGGUUCAAGGUGAUAAGAUUUUUAUCACAUGAUGGAAAGACGAAACAGAAAGAGAGAAAAAUUUGAAAAUAAAGACCGUCUAAAAUCUGGUUCACAUACCAUGUGCAUCAUCUUUUGACCUUGUGAUUAUGUUGUUAAUUGUCCUUGGUGCUUGGUAUAAAUGUUCAGGUAAUGAGCAUCAGUCUCGAAUUUCUGGACCUGUUCAGCUUGCUAAAAAUUUUCUCGGGCCCAUUUCUGGUAUUAAUCUAUCAUACUUGAUAUAUUGCAAUUUAGUCUAUACAUAAGCAUAAUAUUCUGAUGUUCAGAUAAUCCAUAAGAGUGACGGUCUGAUGUUCCCAGGUCAUCGUCAAGACCGUUUGGCAGCUAAAUUUAAUGUUCAAAGUCCCUCCCUCUCAACUGGUAUUUAUGAUUAGAUUUUUAUCAGGAGAGAGAAAUCUGAGUACCCUUAUCGGCAUGUUUCCUGUAUGAAAAUUUUUGUGUUUUCCUUUGUCUGAACUAGGUCAACCUCAACGUGCUGUCCCUGUUCGGUUUCCCAAAGAUCUUAUGAGAGUUGAUCAUACAACUGGUAUUUGUUCCUUUAGAAGUGCUUAUAGUGUUUUAUGCAAUCAGACUGAGUUUCAUGGCCAGCUUAUUGUGAUUAAUGAUUAUGAUUGUAACUUUUCCACUUACAGGUCAGGUAGUUCCUCAAAAAAUUGGUAGGACAUCUCAUGUUCAUGGUGUUAUUGGCCAGCCAUCUCUUAAAAGGAGAGCAAAUGAAACCCCAUCAGUGCCUUCCUGGGGUCAGCGUAGGAGGUUUUUCACUCCCAGUUACCAUUCUGCAAUGAGCACUCCUGCUAUUCCCCCUCUUCCUUCCACUUCGGCUCACAUAAAGUGGACAGGUAUUCCCUGGCACCCUUUCACUUGCACCAUUUUCCUAUAGUUUCGGAUAUACUGCACAUCGUGGCGAACUGCAAUUACUAUUUAUCCAUGUCUGAGCAUAUAGAUCUCCAUUAUUGACAUUUAAGAGACCUGCAAGGAGCAGUAUUCUUCAGAAACUGCAUGGAAAGAAGUAAUUUUUUCGUUUUAAACAUGUUUAUCGCAUCACUGAACGUUGAUAUACCUUUCACAUUUAGCGCAAAAUUAUUUCAAGGACCGGCUGACUUUGAGGAUAACAAUUUUGCCUAGGCUUGUCCUGGGUUCGGACCAUAUUUGUUCAAGUUGAUCUAAUGCAAAGUAACCACAGCGAGAAAAAAUUGAUUAAUUUAACCAAAUGCACCUUCUAUGCUGCUACAAUCUUGAUAAAGAUUACAAGAAGUGACUGUUAGACGUGCUUGCAGAUUCUGAAAGUCCUCCUCGGCCAACUGGACAUAGAUGCAUGUUAUGCAAGAGGGAUCUCUCUUUCAGACCAGAAGGCCCCAUUUACCAGCCUAUCAAUCCCCCGGCUAUCGCAGUUCUUCCCUGCGGCCAUACGUUUCAUGACCAAUGCUUGCAGAAUAUCACCCCAGAAGAUCAAUCGAAAGAUCCUCCGUGUAUACCCUGUGCCAUUGGUGAAAAACAAGCUUGAAAUUAUUCUCUCAUAUUCUGUGUUGGGCAAACUCUAAAGAUGGGAAAGCUGUAUCUACAUUUAACUGUAUCUACAUUCAAUUAGGAUUUAGUAAGUGAAGAUAACUUAAGAGGGAAGUAAAAUUUUUGUAUAGUUGUUGGAAAUUAGGUGUAGAGUUCUUGCAACUGUACAUAGUGAAUGUGGGAUGGCAGAUGCGGUUGGACAGGUAUUAAAAGCAACCAUUCAGUUACCAAUUUGCCUCGAGUGUACAUGAAGCCUCCCUUUGUUUUGAGAAUGAAUAGAACGAAUUUCAUUUUGUGCUAAUGAGGAUGGUACUAUCUGUCCUUCUUGGCGUUUGAACGCGUCUAAAGUUCUUCUAAGCUUUUCCUUGGAAUAUGCUCUGGAUUGUUAUUGUACGCGUAAGCCUUACGUAUCCAAAAUUGCUCUGCGCUGAUUCCUCCCGCAAUUGUACGGUAUUUCUCCAUAGUUAUAUACUAUAAGGUAAAUUUUGAUGAGUGCUGAUUCAACUCUUUUAACUGUAAAUUACCUAGAAAAUUCUUGUUGGUAAUUAAAUUGGGAUUUUGUGUUUUGAAGUCUAUUUAAUUGAUAUGUUUCCUUUCAAGAUAGUUAUAUGUUUCGUUUUUUAAGAAAAAACCCCAUAUCAUACGAUCCAGCAAAGUGCUUCCUAAUUUCCCUCGCUUUUCGCUAAGGUAAAUUUGUCAUUUACAAAAUUGACAAUCUAUAUCUAUAUCUAUAUGUAUUGAGGAAGGGGUUUUUAUCAGAGACCCUCUCAAUGGCUUUUAAACUUCUCAUUCUUUUUUCUAGAUUUUUGUAUUUAUUUUAAUACAUAAAAAGUAGUGGAUUAUAAUCAACCCUAUCACCAAUCAAAUUUAAAAUUUAAAACAUUCCCACUAUCUACUUCAUAAACCGUUUAUACUUUGUUAUUUAUACUUUAAAUCCUUUUUACUCCUUAAUUAAAAACAAAUGCUCAUUCGCAUGCUAUUUUAAUACAAUGUUACAUUUUUAUAAUUAAGAAAUAUUUAUCCCCAAACUAACCCUAUAACCACCCCUACAAAUGAGCUUUGCAAAUUACAAUUACGUUUCAAAAAAAUCACAAAUGUGCAACUACAUGUAAAGUUGAGAGAGUAAAGUACAACUAAAUGUAAAGUUAAUAGGUUUACUAUAUUUAACCCUAAAAAAAAUCCCAAGAACGGAACAAGUAGUGGGUCUACUUGAUUGUAAGAUUGUUUUAAUUCUAUAGAUUUUUGUAUUUAUUUUAAUACAUAAAAAGUAGUGGAUUAUAAUCAACCCUAUCACCAAUCAAAUUUAAAAUUUAAAACAUUAACACUAUCUACUUCAUAAACCAUUUAUACUUUAUUAUUUAUACUUUAAAUCCUUUUUACUCCUUAAUUAAAGACAAAUGCUCAUUCGUAUGCUAUUUUAAUACAAUGUUACAUUUUUAUAAUUAAGAAAUAUUUAUCCUCAAACUAACCCUAUAACCACCCCUACAAAUGAGUUUUGUAAAUUGCAAUUACGUUUCAAAAAAAUCACAAAUGUGCAACUACAUGUAAAGUUGAGGGGGUACAGUGCAACUAUAUGUAAAAUUAAGGUGUUUACUAUAUUUAACCCUAAAAAAAAUCUCAAGAACGAAACAAGUAGUGGGUUAUAGAUUUUUGUAUUUAUUUUAAUACAUAAAAAGUAGUGGAUUAUAACCAACCCUAUAUCACCAAUCAAAUUUAAAAUUUAAAACAUUCUCACUAUCUACUUCAUAAACCGUUUAUACUUUGUUAUUUAUAUUUUAAAUCUUUUUUACUCUUUAAUUAAAGACAAAUGCUCAUUCGUAUGCUAUUUUAAUACAAUGUUACAUUUUUAUAAUUAAAAAAUAUUUAUCCCCAAACUAACCCUAUAACCACCUCUUCAAAUGACCUUUAUAAAUUACAAUCACGUUUCAAAAAAAUCACAAAUGUGCAACUAAAGGUAAAGUGCAACUAAAUGUAAAGUUGAGGGGGUAAAGUGCAGCUAAAUGUAAAGUUAAGAGAUUUACUAUAUUUAACCCUAGAAAAAAUCUCAAGAACGGAACAAGGAGUGGGUUAUAGAUUUUUGUAUUUAUUUUAAUACAUAAAGAGUAGUGGGUUAUAACCAACCCUAUCACCAAUCAAUUUAAAAUUUAAGACAUUCCCACUAUCUAUUUCAUAAAUUGUUUAUACUUUAUUAUUUAUACUUUAAAUCCUUUUUACUCCUUAAUUAAAGACAGAUGCUCAUUCGUAUGCUAUUUUAAUACAAUGUUACAUUUUUAUAAUUAAGAAAUAUUUAUCCCCAAACUAACCCUAUAACCACCCCUACAAAUGAGAUUUGCAAAUUACAAUCACGUUUCAAAAAAAUCACAAAUGUGUAACUACAUGUAAAGUUGAGGGGGUACAGUGCAACUAUAUGUAAAGUUAAGGGGCUUACUAUAUUUAACCCUAAAAAAAAUUCCAAGAACGGAACAAGUAGUGAGUUAUAGAUUUUUGUCUAGAUUUUUGUAUUUAUCAAAUCGAAUGCACAAUAUUUGUAAGUAUUUCAUUUUAACAACAUUCAAUUACAUUCAUUUUUGUUCAUAUAUCAUUCAUUUUCUAAAAUAAAUUUCUAUUAUUUUUUUUAUGAUCUAUUUUCCGAAAAAAGACAGUUCUUGAAUGAUAUGCACAUCUAUCAUAUUUCAAACUAUUGUUAGACAGAUAUUACAUUUUAAUUGUGUUAGUACAAUUUUUAAACUUUUUUUAUUCACCAUUUUAUUUUUACUUUUUCAAUAAUGCCAGUACCGUGCAUAGCACGGGUAUUCACACUAGUACACAAUUAUUUAGCCUUAGCGGCGGGAAUAUGGCACAUCCGGAAGUAGUUAUUUACAGCCAUAUGAGCCUUGGGCCUUGGCUGGCUAUCCAGCGGCUAGCAAUUAGUUAGUAGUAAGAGCACGUGACUGCGCAUGAUUUCUCGCAUAAUAAAACAAUUAUAAUUUAUUAACUGCACGUGACGUAGUCUUCCAGCCGUUUCAGGACCAAGAAAAUUCUCCCAAACAAACAUCGGCAUAUCCUUUAGUAUUUAGGAAUUUGAUCCCUUCACUUUCUUUUUCUGGGCAUCUCCGAAAAUCCUUACAAACAUUAGGUGCAUUUCAGUAAUUCAGAAACUGGACCCAUAAAUUAUGAAAUUAGUCUAUAUACGCAUACUAGACGAGUUCAAUAACACAUUUGCAGAUAGUACAAAUAUAUUUCAAAAUUACGAAAUUAAGAGUAUAAAUAAAGUUAAUACAUUUUUCACAAAUCGUGCUAUACUAGUACCAAUUUUCACUCUUAUAGUUAUAUAAAAGAAAUUAAAUUAGUUAAAAUUUUAUCACCUCAUUAGCUUUAUAUGAAUAAAUCUAUGGAUGUUAUCACCUUAAAUUUUUUUUUUACCCAAAAAAAUCUAAGGAUUUUAUAAUAUAGGUUAUUAUUGUUUUGUAUGUAACUCAAAACAUAUUUUAUUAUUCUUACAAUAAUUUUCAAAACUAUUUUCACAAUUUCAAGUAUAAUUCGUGAAUUAUAAUAUGCCCAAAUUUUGUUACAUACACAAUUAGCUGAAAAAUAUGAAUACUUCGAAAAAUAUUCUUGAAAGGAAAAAUAAUUCAACACAUCCCCUACAUUUCGUCAAAUAAAUAUUUUAAUCCCUCAUUUUUAAAAUAUUAAUUUUACAUCCCUUAUAAUUUCAAAUUAAUAAAACUUGAUUCCUACCAAGGUUUUUGAUCAUUUUUUAGUCUAAAAUCAGACCAUGUAACCCAUAAACAGUUAUUUUUUAUAUACAAAAAGGCCAGAUAUCACAUUUUUAGUUACAAAGAUGAAUAUAGAUUAUGUCAAAUUCCACCUUUUCAGGAGAAAAUAAAUAUGGUUCAUGCCAGAUCCUACUUUUGUAGAAGCAAAAGUGAAUAUAGAUCAAGAAAUUUGUUUAACUACAAAUGAGAUCUAAUAUUUUUUUCUCUUACAAAAAUGAUUAUGUACGGGUCACGUGAUUGAUUCAAGAUAAAAAAAGAAAGGUAAAAAACCUAGAUUGCAAUCAAAUUUUAUCGACUUGAUUUUGUAAAGGACGUAAAUUUAUUAUUUUAAAAGUGAAGGAUAAAAAAUUCAUUUAACAAAAUGUGAUGAAUAUUUUAAAUAAUUUUUCCUUCUUGAAAUGUACGAAAUAUAAAAUAAUUAUCCAUACAAACCACCGGACCAGUAUGAUACGAGUAUAAUACAAAUUUGUACAAACUCGGCCGAACAGAUAUACCACUUACCACACAUGAAAAACGCGACAACAACCUUUGCCUCAGUAAUUUCAAAUUUUCAAUCAAUCAAAUUUUAUUUAAAUUUUAAAUUAAAAAAAAUAAAAUACCAACUGAAAAUGGGGUCCACCAAGAAAGACAAAUCUAGGCCGUCCAAAGCCAUUGACGAUUCCGUCAGCCACCUCUCUCUUUGGGUGAUGAAUUUGAUGCCAGGAAAAACUCGAGUGCUAAAUGCUAAUCCUCUCUCUCUCAUUUCCCACAUCCGUCCGUGUUGAUGAUUCAAUAUUCUCUCACUUCAUCGGCUUGUGUAAUAACAACCUUCUUCUUCUCGCCUACUCCAACUCCUAACAAAGCCUACUAUUUCCUCAACAGCAACAGACUUAAAUUAGUACUGCUACUACUAUAAUUAGCAGCUAAGGUCUGAAGAGGCAGAUAUAAUUUCUACUACUAAAAAAAAAAAAGAUCUUUUCUUUCCUUGUUAUCUUAUGAGUCCAUAAAAUAAAAGGAAGAAAUAGCUUUUGAUGGUCAGCUCUUGACUUGUAAGUCGGAUAAGGUACGAAUGCUAUGGAGGAACCAAAUAAGAAGGUGGAGCAGACUUUGAUCAAUGGAUUCUCUCCUGUUUCUUCUGCUCCUGUUUUCUGGAAAUCCAGGAGAAGGGCAGGUUAGCUACCCUUUUGAUUCUUGUGCUUAAUUAUCCUUUUCUCUUCGCAUCCUUGGGGUCAAAUUUUGUUUUGAAUUUGUGGGGUUUAAGGAUCAACCCAUGGUUUGAUGAGGGGUUGCAGGAUGCAAAUGACUGUAGAACCGUAGAUCUCUUCAUGCAAAGGCUAAGACUUGGGAAGAAUUGUUUGCUUUCUUGACAUUUGAAGCUUGGAGUAUUUUCUGCUUUGGUUCUUCUUUUUUGUCGGCUAAAUCAUUUGCAAAACUAAUCCCAACAAUUAACUCUGACAAUUUGACACAACUGCUCCGAGAUUAAGCAGCUUAGCCCUUAACCUUAUCUCUGCGACUCCUCCUCCUCCCUUUUUCUUUUUCUUUUUUUUUUUUCCCCUUUUCUGGGGUUGGGAACUUGCUGCUGGGAUGUGUACUCUGGACAUGGGCGAUGAUUGUGAAGUGGGAUCUUCCCAUGUGGAUGGUGUGAUGCGGUUGUGGGUUAGGGAAGGGAAGCGUACAGCUGCACCACCAAGACUUGGUCUGACUUUGCUCCCACGUCACUUCAUUACUCAUGAUUUAGGUUGGAGUUAGCUAGCAAAUCAACCUCAAAGAAAAUACUACUAUUAGAAAAGAAAAUAAAUAAAUAAAAAGGAUGGGAGAAAAUGGAUUGUCCAUCUACAAUCCUCCCCGUCUGAUUGGAAUUUUAUGUUUACCCCUAAAGAUUUUUUUUUGAAAAAGAAAUUUCUUUUUAGACUAUGAAAUGACCACCUCAUGAUUAGUUGGCUUUAAAGUUUUGUUGAUGAUUUAUUUGAGAUAAUUAUUGUAGCAUUUUUUAUGAUGUGAUGCAUGUGAGAUAAAAAGGUAAUUGAAAAAAUAAAAAGGUGAUUGGAAUCUGUGAAGCAAAUUAUUUUAUCUGAAAUCAUGCCAAUCCAAACAAACCCACAUUUGAUUUUUCCGUCACCAAAAUAAGUAUUUUUCUCCUCCACAGUUUUUCCGCUAUUAAGAUUCUACAUUUGAUUUUAAGAUCAUCUAUACCUAAUGUUAAGAAUCUUUUUCUUCUCUGUGACAUUUUUCUAUGGUGAAACUUCUGAUCAUAGUUAAUGAUUGUAAACUUGUGAUCUUAGUUAAGUCAUAAUCGCAAUUUCAAUCACUUAAUGUAAUAGCUGUAAUAUUUUCAAACCAGUAUGAGAAGAUCAAAAUUUUGCCAAUACUAAAUUGCAGUUUGCUCAGUAAAGUAGAGUCUAUUAACUGGAGACCUGCAAGCAUUUGACUCUGGAAUACCUCUUCAGACUAAAAACUAAACCAAACUAAUACUAGUUAUUUUUAAAGACUCUGAGACUAGGUUCACGUUUACAAGUUUAACUUCUUCAUAGCCUUAUGGACAUAGAUUUCAAAUAAAAGGGUGCCUCCUUCUAGUCAGAGUUUUGCCUUCUUACUUACUGCAACCCUACUUCGAAAGCACUAAUUCUUGUUACUUACUAUAGCAUCUAUUUAGCAGAUUAUAGAAGGCAGCAAUCUUGAGCUCUUUGCGAUUCCCAUCUUGCUUACUGCCUUAGUAAAAAUACUUUGAAACUAAGCAUAUUUUUUCCUGGAGAGAUUCCUGCUGAACGUUUGCAUCUUCCUGCAGUCAGCGUGAAGUAUUUAGACAAACCAACAGAAAAUGAUGCUGAUAAACCUCCAGAAACACAGGAAAAUCCCACCGCUGAGGCAAUGCAGGAGGAUUCAACCCCUGUUGUUCUAUCAGAGAAGAGGAAGGCACUCUUUGAACCACUGGAACCCAUGACAAAUAUAAAUGGUCGUAGACCAUCCGCUGAAAUGUUACUUCCCCCACCGGACUUUGAUGCAGCAACUUAUCCCAAAGGCUGGCUGAUUGGCAAGAAGAGGAAGCUUGUGAAUGUUGAUGUUGUGGAAAGCAUGCGCAGGAUUGCCGUCCAGGAAAUGAAUAGAAAGGUGGUGUUCUCGGUAGCCUCUUUGAGUACUAGAGCAAAUAUUGCUCUUUUUACUCGAAAACGCCGGUUGUCCUCUCACAGGAUGUAACAACUAAUUACAUUAUUUCGUUUGCAGGAUAGGGAGAUUGAUGGUCUGAAUGAGCAGUUAGAAGGGGAUGCUCGGUGCCUUGAGCAUUUGCAACUCCAGCUGCUGGAGGAACGGAGCAAGCGAUCUGAAGUUGAGCGUCAAAAUGCAAUGCUGCAAAACCAAAUUACAAUGCUCAUGGACAUGUUACAGGAGAAUGACGACGUAGAUGAUGAUGAAGGUGGAGAGGAGCCUUGAUUUUUUCGUUCUUUCUUCAAUAGUAGGAACUAGUCAUAUGGACUUUUCUUCUGGGGAGUAUUAUUUUAUUUUGCAUAUACGGUUGGCACAAUAUUUAUUUUGUAAUUUUGAGACUUAUGCGGUCAUGUGUGUGUAUAAUUAGUUCACAUAUAUUUCACAACUAGCAUAAAUUGUAUACUGUAAAUCUUCUUAAUGUUCUUAAUGAAAGUGUGAGGAACGCUUUGCAAGUCAACCAGAACAACUCUGCGCUUUGAGCUCUAUUUUGCAUGCAGCCGACUUUUCGCUUGACUAAUCGAUCAAAGACUCUGCCUUUAGUUUCUUAUACUUGUCAUUUUACAUUCACACGCUCUACCUUUGGUUUCUUAUGCUCAUCAUUUUUGUCGUUCAUAAAUCAAGAGGUCUUUGAUUGUGAAUCUAAGCAGCAGAUAAGCACGGAAACCCACUUCAGGGUAAGUCCUUACCUGUGGAAAAUUAUGCAAUCACCACCAUGCACUGAGCACAUGGAUGUAUGUAGUUUCUGAUUGCCAGAAAGGAAGCCUCGGAUUCAUAUGUAUACUAGAGAUGUUCUUCGAUAAGAUAAAACUGCACAUUUUCCACUUUCCACUUAGAUAAUGUGAUAUCAGCUACACCCAAUACCAAAUCUACAACCCAACAAGCAUAACACAAAAAGAAAAACAUUUAGGAUUCUUCAUCAAUGAGAAUCUCCGAAUCCACCACGGUAUGCAAAUUGCAGCAAAAGACCCUAACGUAUGUAUAUGUACAGGUUUCUGGGCAAGGAACUUCACUGGUAGACCCGAAGGACACAUGCUACCGAGCUUGAUUGUCAACAUCUUCUGAGAUGUUGAAUAAGAACUGAGGCAGAGAUGCUAUCCUUGGAAGAUUUAGCAGCAAGUCCCCAACAGAGUCCUUUCUAGACAUAGGAGGAGGCUGCUUGCACCCUAAGAUAUCUUCCAUUUCCCCCUCAGCUACGGCAGACUUUUCAUCGAUGUUGCUUCCACUGGCCUGUAAAGUAAAGCUUGAAUCAUCUAUUCUCUUAUCCAUCACCAACACAUCAGAAAUGCUCUCACUUUUAGAUGGCAAUAUUUGGCCUGUCAUAGGGUCUUUCUGCAGAAGACAGCACAGAGAAUUGACCCUUGACAUGAGAGACUUUUCAUCAGAAGCUGGCACGUAUUGAGAGUCACUAAACAAACAUCGGUUAAUUUCUUCCAGGAUCUCCAGCCCUUGUCGUUCGUCACUUGAGAGGAUGAAAUUGUCAGAUGUCCUCUGCUCUGAUAUCCGAUUUUCAAGAUGGCUCACAAGAUCACUCAUAGACAUAGAAGAAUGCAACCCCGGUACUCUGAUCUGAUGCCAGCUGCUAAGUUCCUUCCAUUGCUCUCCUCCACUAUUUUUUAUUUCUUCAAUUACAUGCGUAUCCAUUACUGAAUAAAUCAAAACACAGAGUCAAAUACUACUAGAGAGACGCGACUACAUAUAUAAACCUCCUUGGAGGAAAAGAAAUACUCUGUACAGAUUAUAAAUCAAAUGAAAAUGACAUUUUACAUAUCAAAUUUUUAGUAAAUAUCAAAUUUUUAGAAAUACUCUGGUCAGAAACUUUUAGUAAAUAUCAAAUUUUGGUUCAAGACUAUUAAAAGGACCGGUUACCUGAGCUGGGUGAUGGUGUUUCAUGUCUAAUAGAUUCUCGAGGUCUACUAACAGUGUCUUGUUCAUUCCUCGAAGAAGAUGAUUGACCACCUGAUGGUGAUGCUGCAUCCCUCAGGUUGAAGAAAGUGGGACUCUCAUGAUUGUUCAAAUCAAAUGCAGCUUUGUUUUCACUUGGGUCAUCAAACACAGAGAUUCUGGGUUCAAAAUAUGGAGAAUCCAACGUUAUCUCUCCUUGUUUACUCAGGAAGUUAAGACGAGGAUCACAUUGAAUAAGCUUUUCGAAAUGCUUUCCCAACAAGCCUUGUGGACACUGCAGAAAAUGACGCCUGCCAGAAAUCCCAGAAAAAAUGCCAAUCAAUGGUGAGUCAGACCAUUGCUAUAUUGCACUUAGUCUCCAGAGAUUGAGCAAAACAUCGAAAAGAAAAAACUGUCACUUUAAAAAAAAAAAAAAAUUAGAGUAUCUCUCAUCUCUUAAUAUCUUUAGUAUCAAAAAGCUACCAAAUAUAUUUCAAAUGUCCAAUUUGGGAUUACCCCUCUCCCCUGUUUCUUCUCCCCCACCCAAUAAAAAAAAAAUCAUCUCUUUGGUGAUAAAGGGAGAAAUGCUAAGAGCACAGAAGGCUAGAAUAGAGUAAGUCCAACAAUUGAAAUUCAGUCGUGAGUCGCUGAUACUCAUAAAAGUCAGCAUUUCGCUCUAAAUGCUCGUAAGAUAGGAACUUGGAAGUCAACAUCAGAGAAGAGAGGUGUAUGCAGACUAUUGUUCAGAUACAUCUGCGGUCAAGGCAGUAUAGCUGUGGUGAUAACAAAUCGCUAUCUACAUAAUGCUGAGAUGUUACUGAGAAAGUCAAACAACCACCUAAGAAAUAACAAAUUGAUGAAGUAACUCAAAUGGUACAAAUCAAAAUGUGGGGGUGGAGAACAAAAACUCCUUGCUACAUAAAUAAGCAAAUAGGACACAUACAGUAUGGAACAAGUAGCUUGUUGCCUAAAAAGUGCCAUUUAAAAAUGGCAACACAAUAAACUCAUGAAUGAAUGAGAGAUUACCAUACCUUUGUAUGCUGGCCUGACCCCCAGUAAAAUCAGAUGUUGCCUGCCACAGGGUAUGCUUCCUAGGCUGUGGAUUUGUCUCCCUAAAGAAAAGAGGUUGUCUUGCAAGCUACACCAUUUAAAAAAAAAAAAAAAAAAAAACAUGUUUUCACUAUAAAAAGUUCAUAAUAACGACAUACAGUGUAAUUAACAAAGGCACAGUAAGUGUUGUUAAUACCACUACAUCCAAAGUCCCCGGUCCAUCAUCAGGAUAAUUCCCCUUCAAAGCCAUUAUAUCAGACCAUUGAAUUUCAAUCUUAUUCUUGAGCCCGCCAUCAAGAACCUCCCAUACAAGCUUAUGCUUUGCAAAAUAACACUUUGCUACCAAAUCCCCUUCAUAUCUUGACUUAUACUAGAAAUUAGAACAAAGAUAUGCAAUCAAAAUUAACGAAAUCAUAAGCAAUCCAAUAAAACAAGUUUCUAAAAUCCAUGAUCAAAUGCAAAUGUAUAAAUAUACCUCCCAGGUCCCAAUUCGCAGAAUCGUUGCUGGAAAAUUUGAGGCCUUGAGCUUCUCAGAGGAACCAGAAGCAGCGGCCCCUUUAAGCUCUUUUUUACUGGAACUUGCACCCUUAGGUGAAUUAGCUUGAGAAAGCCUCAUUUGGAUCAAUUCCAAAAGGGAAGGACUUUUCCUCAGCCUCAAUCCCAAUGGACUCGGCUCGUCUAAUGGGUUAUACUGAGCCGGCGGUGCCACUGGAAAGCCACCCACUUCCCCAGUUCCCUGCUGCAACAGUCAAACCCCCCGAAAGUACAUCAGAAAUUGAACUUUCCAAUCAUACAGACAAAACCACAUAGAAUAAAACAAGGAAAAAAAACCCAAAAUUCACAUAAACUCCUAAAAACUGAGAGAUGUUCAAGAUCCAAUUAAUUGGAGUUAAUCCGAUUCAAUAUAUAUAUAUAUACAUACAAACUUAAAGCGGAAGACAAAACCCCAACACUUCUACAAGUAUACAUGAGAGAGACAAAGAGAAAAAUUACGAACUUGAAGCGAAGAAGAGUGUUUGGAUCGCUUAUUAAGAGGGCCAUAUUCUUCUUCCAAAGGGUCUUCAAGUUCCCUCUUCACUGCCGCCAUUUCCCCUCUCUGCAACUCGCCGCUUUUCGUCGCCUGAACCAUCAAAUCAGAAAACUACAAAACUGGAAUCGCCCAAAUCAAUAGGAAAACUCACCAAGUCAAAGCAAAGAGUUUGCCCUAAACAACCAAAGAACGACAGAUCUCUCCAAUCUCAAUUUUUCUUCAAAGCUUUGAAUGGAAAUUUCUACUGCUUCGCCUUUAAACAAAGUGGCUGCUAAGAAAACUAGGCGUAAAAAGCUUCUGACGCGACUCACACGUGUCACCAACACGCGCUGCUACUAACCUUGCACGUGCAAUACCCUCACUCUCCACAGCAACCGCGUGCAAUGCAGGGGUAACAAAUGGAGUAAGAGUAGAAAAUGUGUGGUCCAGAUGAGUUCUUUUCCAAUUAUUGAAAAUGAAUUUUGUAAAGGUUUUCUCAAAAUUUGGUCAUUUUGCAAAAGAUAUCAUUGGGUUGCUUGUGCUAGGGGUGGGUAAAAUUAUCCGCUAAUCCGAAAAUCUGUCAUAUCCGAUUCGAUCUGAUCUAAAAAUUAGGAUAAUCGAUUUUUAUUAUUUGAUCGGGUCAAAAGAGGGUCGGGUACCAGCUAAGAUGCGGGGCGGGUUAGAGUCACAUAAUUAAAAAUCCGCGGGUACCCAAUCCGCGCCCGCAUAUAUAUUUUUUAUUUUAUUUUUAUUAUUAUACACAUACUAUAAAAUAAUAAGAACUAAAUAAGUAAUUUUAUUGAACAAAUUGCAAUACAAAUAUGAGAGACUAUAGUUUAUUUACAAGAUUCAUUUGUAGAGGCCAUGAUCUUAUAUUUUAUAGAAAAAGUUUAAUUAAUGUGGAACAUAUAUAUUAAAAAUUGUGCUACUUAUUUCAAACUUUUAUUAAUUUCGAAUUCUUUUAAUUUUUUUCCUUUAUCUUAUAUUUUCUUCACAUGCUUGUUUCUUGGUGGGAAACCUUUUUUUAGAAAAAAAAAUUUAUUAAAUCUUAGAUUAAUGUGUAAAAUAUAAAAUUAAAUUGGUAUAAAUUAUUUUUUUAAAAUUAAAUAAUAAAUUGGGCGAAGCGGGUACCCGCUGAUCCGACCCUAUCUCAACGGGUACCCGCUAAUAUGCGGGACGGGUAAGGGUCAAAAAAUGACUGACCCGCAAGGUGCGGGUCAGAUCAGUCAAAUGGUGAAUGAGGCGGGUACCUGACCCGCUCCCACCCCUAACUUGUGCCUUUAGGUUACCAAAUAAAUAAACUCUUUAUGCAAUACUAUUAAUUUUUACUGCUCAAUUUCAAAAUUACACAAGUUACUUGCUAUCAAUUACAACUCAUAUACGUUUAUAUUACCGCGUCGAAUUUAAAACUUGGCCUUAGACUCUCGCUGAUUAUACUAUGGCCUAAUCUAAAGUAGUUUCUAUCAAAUGUUAUACAAUUUUCAUCAAUAGCUCAUCUUUUUUAAUUCAAGAAAAAUGGCAAACUUUACAAGAGAAGAGAUGAAAAAUUUAGAUCUUGAGAGUCGAAUCAGAGACCCCAUUUUAAUGUCCACUCAGAAUUAGCUCCUUCUAAUUUAGCCUGUCUCUUCUGAUGAUAACAGAUAUAUAUAGUAGUGAAUCCCGCCCGAUUCAUACUUCUUUAGAUUCUGUUUAAAUUAUAUUUUUCAUGAUUUUUUUUAAAAUUUUGUAAAAAUAUUUAAUUUUUUAGAUUACUUUUUACUUCACAUGUAUUACAUCCAAAAAAAAAAAAAUGUGUUAAGUGUAUUUUAUUCUACAAACAAUUACUAAAAAAAAAAAACAUCCAUAGAGGUUCCAAAACCAUGGAAUCCUAUUUCAAGUGUUGGCCUGUCGGGGGAAUAGAAAUUAGAAAGAUCACGUGAGCGCAGUGGAUAAAGUGCGGGGACCGCACAUGAGAACGUUCUGCUCGUCUAGUAGUACAAUACAAUGCAGACAAAUUUAGAGAGAUGGAACGUAGGGAGAUGGUGGAGGUUGGCGGUGGUGGGAUGGUUGAGAUGAUAAUGUCUGUACACGUGGAGAAAUCCAGUUGCGUGUAUUGACACGUGAGCAACCCAAGUGGAUAAUGUUUGUGAGUUAUUAUUGUCUCAUUUUUUGUCCUAUUGCGUAGGUUACGUAAUCCACACGCGUUCGCUUCUGGUACUUGGCGGCGGCAACUGCAUCACGCGCUGUUUCGUUGCUUUCUUUUCAAAAGAUCACGCGCGUGAUGCUCUUUUUGGCUGGCAAGUUUUAUAGUUACUCUCCAAAAUUUGAUUACUGAAAACUAUUGACAUGUGCAGUUUUUGAUUAUGAUAUUGAUGUUGAAUUCGGACAUAAAGGAUAAGAGCAGUAAUUUCUUAAUGGGAAAAAGAAAAAAAAAAACCUCUUGCUUAUCUCUUGCCUUGUGGGCCCUUUUAGCUUCUGCCAUUUUGGGCUCUUGUAGUUUCUAUUUAUGGUUAGAGCAGAUUUUUUGCUUUUAGGACAGCGUCCACUGAGAUUGAUGUUGUUGCCAAAAUGAACGAAUAAAUAAAUAAAUGCUUUUAUCUAAAGUUUUAUAUAAAAGAUUUUAUCCAUUCUUCAAUUCAUCUCAUCAUGCAAUAUAACAUUAUUAAUUUCUUCAAAUCUACUCUCAACUGAGCAAUGUUGUUCUAGCUAUAAUAUAUUACUAAUCUUUUUCACUUCCUUCUUUUUCCCCUUCCAUGACAUCCAAUAUAAUAUAAUAUAAUAGUUGAGAAGAAAAAGUCAUACUACUAGGCUUUGUAGGAGAAGAAUCCUCGGUGGGAGGUCUGGAGUAUGGACCACGUAUAUGCUAAAAGAGGCCCGUUCACGUGCUAAUUGACCCUUGUUACCAGUCGAAGGACCAACACAUUUUCCAAAAUUGAAAAUUUGGGCUUCAAGGCCCAAUAAGUAAUCAACAUCAAGGCCCAACGAAUGUACAUCUUCCAAUCUACAUUUUCUUUAGAACGGUAAAGGCAAAUUGCUAUUGAGUCCUUUGCUGAAAAUUCAUUGAUGUUUUUGUCCACUACAUUUUAUUUUCCUUCACGGUCGCCUAGUUAGUGUUUUUUUUUUUCCCUUACUAGGAAGGGUAGCCAGGAAGGUGGGCUUAGAAGUGCAAAUGAGUCAAGCUUACUUGAGGUGCUGCAAGUUUGGUCGAUCAAAGUUUGAACUUGAACUUUCAUUGAUCGAGUUUGAACUCGAGUUCAAUCUGAUUGAAUUACUUAAUGAGUCGAGUUCAAACUUAAUAUUUGAAGAUUGAAAACUCGUUGAGCUUAAUCGAGUUCAAUCAACCUUCACAUAUAUAUAUAUAUAUAUAUAUUAUUUUUAGGAUAAAAAGUCUAUUUUGUCUUUUGCUUAAAAUUAUAUAAAUUUAUAUUUAUCAAAGAUAUGAUAUGGUCCAAACGAUUUUGUCUCACUUACAUAAUGCAAAGUGAAUGUUAGCUCUUUGCGAGGUGUUGUCCCCUUUUGUUCGGAGAAAAUUGCUACGUUUUCGGUAAAUACAUUUUCCAAUCACCUUUUUACCUUAUAUAUAUCAAAUCGUUUCAAUAAUUUUUCUAUAAAAAAUCUAGAAAAAUGCGAUCCAAACAAAUCUGUCUCCAAAUAUUCUAUUAUUGGUAGUACAAUAGUACUAAUAUACUACUGUUAAGUUAGCCCAGCUGUGGAAAGUAUUUGUUAUUCGGCCAAUUAAUGCGAUUCCAGUGAAGCCACCACAAGUGUUUGGUAUACCCGUGAGCUACUCUUUGCCUAAAUCUUCUCUAAACAUUUAUAAACCUGAGCUGGUUUAUGUUUGAACAAGGAUAAUGCCGGAGAAAUUCCAGACGCAAACAACACAAUUUGUCUAAUUAAUGCAAAAGCCACACGAGCUAAAUAUAUAUAGAUGUAAACAUUCCUGUAGCAGGAAGGUUUUAAAACUUCCUAUGCAUAGCAAAGAGACAAUAAUAUGUGUUAGCUUAGCUAUGUGGGACAUUUUCUCUCUUUUGAGUUGUAAUUCUACUGCUGCAGUAUCAGAGACAAGGAAUUUAAUCCUCCGCUUGUGAUGGUUAAUGUUAUGUCAUGUACAUUUUACUUUUCUUUUUUUUUUCUUCUUUCUUGAUAUAUAUAUAUAUAUAUAUAUUUCUAAGUAUGCGAUUGCAAAAAAAUAUUUCCAAGUACCGUGCAUGAUUAAGGACCAUUGUACUUUAUGUGUAAUCUUUACACAUUAAUUAAUUUGUUAUUGAAUUUACGUGAAGCAAAAACGAAGGGCGCACCCCAGGAGGACGGAAGGUAAUGCAAAUAUUGAUCCUUUUUUUUUUUGUUCUUACGAUAAGUCUUGAUCAAAUAUAUUUCUUCAUCAUUAUGCAUUCUUCUGUUUUAUCCAAACUAAACACAAGAAUAUUUUGCUUUGUUGAUAAGUUUAUCAUAGAAUUUUGCUUGGUUGGAGAAUUUUGCUGAUAUGUUCUUGGCUACUAAUAAAACUUACCUAUCCAAAAAAAAGUAAGGGCAAAUCGUCAAUUUGGUCCCUAAACUUUUUCACUUAAACCAAUUUAGUCCUUCACGGUUUUUUUUCACCAAUUUAGUUCUCAAACAAUUUUAUCAAGUCCAAUGUAGGACUUUUUGGGCGGCGCCACCACAUUUUAUGUAUUUUUCACGGCGGACCAGGGGUAUAAUUGGAAUGACAGGUAUAAUUGUCUAAACACCUUGACUAGAAUGGCAGCUCUGUCACGAUUAGCAAAAGAAACCCCUGCAAAUCGACUUCUUCAGAGCUCAUAGGAAUUAGGGCAGAAACUUCGACAAGCAGAACUGAGGGAGAGACUUCGACAAGCAGGUGAAAUGCAAUCAAGCAGAAAUUUCGACAACUCCGCCUCAAGUUUAUGUAGCAGCCAACACUCAAAUCUGGAUAGUCGAGUAAGUGGGCAUUCGACAAGGGUGAAGGGAGAGAGGGUAGAAUUCUACAAUGGGAAUGAAGCAGUAAUUUGCCAUUGCCGUGAAGAAUGUAGAAUUGUAACUUCAUGGACAGUGACGAACCCAGGCAGAAGAUUUCAUGGAUGUAUAAAUUAUGGGGUAAUUUUUACAAUUAAUCACGACAUAUAACUUGUAUAUUUUGAUGUAUUAUAUAAUUUACUACAACUAAUAGCUGGAAUUAAUGGUCAUUGUAGACCCCAAAAGCCUGCAAUUAUUUUCUGUGGUAUGAUCCACCUAUGCAACAGAUGACAAAAAAUAUGAUGGCGAGAAUUUUGAAGAAUUUGAGGAAAGCUGAGGAAGAAAAUAAUUUCAUGAAAAUUGAAAUGUGUAAGCUUGAAGAAGAGAACAAGGCGCUCAAAAGUGAAAUUAGGAAGUUGAAAGCAGCAAGGAAGUGGCUAAUGCUGGUCGUGGUUUGCAUAUGUAUUAUGGUUAUUGCUGUACUAUUACCCAGUGGCAAUGAAAGGAAUGUCAACUUAAAAAUGCUACAUUAGAUGUUCCUGUAUGAAGUUAGAAGUUGAGUAAUUGCUUCAUGUAAUUUGAAUGCUGUAAUGUUGGAAUGUAGACAUGGGUGUAUGGAACAUGUUUAUGCAUUAAAAUGGAACAUUGUCUUGAAUGAUGUUUUUGUAAAUUAAUCGAGAGAUUUUGUCAGUUGUUGCUGGGCACAUUUACUGAAACGAAAUGGCUAUAAAAUGAUUGAGAGAUUUUGUCAGUUGUUGGGCAUAUUACCUUGAAAGAUGUCUUUGUUAAAAUUUAACAGAGAUUCACCUCAAGUUGUAUAAAAAAUUUGACAGCAUUUCAUCCUAAAUUUCGAUAAUCCCUACUCGCACAAAUACCCCAUAUAAACUGCUAAACAACAAGAAGAAAGUCAAAGUAAAUGGUAUAGGAAGAGUGCGAAUAGAAGUUCAUAGUCAUCAACAUAGGUGCGACAUUGCCAAUAUAGCAGGCUGCAUUUUACUUCAGCAUUGAAUUCGUUUUAGACAAAAUGCAGCCACAUCAAAUGUACAAAACACAAUCGUACCAACUGUUAAUCCAAUUAGUAUCCAUUGACAAAACAGAAGCUCUUAAUGUACAAAACAGAGCAUAUCCCACAAAAUAGAAGUCUGCUGUAUUCCCAAGCUCCAUUAACUUGACUGGGCGACAAUAUCAUCUUCUUCAUCCAACAGCCUAUGUGCCUACACAAAUAAAGGCACAUGUCAAAAGCCAUAAACAGUCUUGUUUUAAGUCAUGUCAAAAUCAUUGUCCAGCAAAUGUGCAAGACAUGCUGUUUGUUUCUGUUUUAAUUACUUGAACUUACUUUCUCCUUUUUCCUAGUCAUUUUUCCCUUUGAUGGAGGGAAUGGACCAAAAACAGUCAUAGCAGCCUUUCUUUUUCUCCAUGCUUGAGCUUGCCAGGUUGCACAUGUUUGCCGGUUAUGUCCUAAGCCAUGACAGAAGGAACACUUGGUGAAUUUCUUUUGCACUUCAGGUAGUUCUUCUUGACCCGAUGGUUGUAAAUCAAUAACCUCUUGUUCAUCUAUAACAGCCUGUGCUUUAUCACCUGACCAUGAAAUAAAGUUAAAACAAGUAACAAGUACAAGAAUAAAAUUAUCAUGAGUUACAUGGAAAAAUCCUAAAUUGCUGACCACUUGGAACAUCUGGCAUUGAGCUAGAUUCCAGAGGUACUUCAGUCGGCUCCUUCCCGAACACUUGAUCUGUACAUGUCAAAGCAUCAUUAGUUAAGUAUUACACCAUAAAUCAGUGGAUGAGGGAUAGGUCAAAUUACCAGAUUUUUGUGGACAAGUUCUCUUGUUAUGGCCAAGUGCCUUGCAUUUGCUACACUUGUUGGAGUUGGACGGUGGUGGCCUUUUAUUGGUAGAUGCACCAAGCUCAUUAGAAGGUACCAGCAGUGGACACUUUCUCACUGUAUGCCCCUUUUGAUAGCAUUUUGUACAUGUCAUUCUAACAAGGCCAGAUCUAGAAAGUUUGGUAACCCCCUUCGAAUUAGGCCUAGGCUCUUCUGGUUCCCUUCUUCUUACUUUCUUUGGCCGACCAGGUAACUUCAACUUCAAGGGUGGUAAGACAGGAUCUUUAUCCGAUUGCACCCAAACAUUUGGACCACUCAAAGGAGCAAUUGCUGGCUCAUAAGCCUUCAAGUAACUUUCUUGCAAGUAGUAAUGGUGAACAAGACUUUCUGGCUCUUGACCUAUUAAAGAAAUACAACAAAUCACAUGGCAUCAUGGCAAUCCAGUCAACUCCUAUCUCCUGCAGCUACAAGUCUGCUGCUUUAAGUCCACCACAUGUUUGCCUCCAUACAUAUGUGUAACCUCAAAUUUAUCUUGAUCAGACCAUCUCGCGAUGUUUGCAGCUGCUUCUGUUUUUGCCUUCUCCAGUUUCUUUUGAAUUUUUGGGCAGAUCUUAUCACUCCUCUUCUUCAUCCACUCCCUUUUUGUACGAAGCCUUUCCAUUAGAUAGAUUCUAAUAGUCUCAAGCAUUCCAAGGAUUGGCUUUUCCCUUGCAUCCAUUAUGACCGAAUUAAAGCUUUCACAUAAAUUAUUAAGGAGAAUGUCACACUUGGCAGCCACUCGAAAGUGUGAUCUUGACCAGUGAUAGGGAGAGGUGUUGUCACUUAACCACUUCCAAGCAGGUACAUCAUAAUCCCUUAAACACUCCAUAUGAUUUUCGAACAUCCUCAUGUACGAUGACCUUGCACAUGUCCAAAAUCUUUCCUUCAAUGCUUCACCCGGAUGAUUUUUUUUGAAGUUGUUGUGCAAGUGCCUUACACAAUGUCUGUGCUCAACAUCUGGAAUGACUUCCUGAAUUGCAGAUCCUAAACCCUGCAAAAUAGACAAAUGCAAGUUUAGCACAAUCAGUAAGCAUUCAUAUAUAUGUAAUAAACAUAUAUAAACAAUGUAAGUUGAUCUUAUUCACCUUCUGUCUAUCACUUAUGAAGCUCCAAUUUCUUUGAUCAUUGAUAGAUAGGUCAUAUUUCAAGAAUUCAAUAAACCACUUCCACGACCUCUUAUUUUCUGCUUCAACUACUGCAUAUGCAACUGGAUAAACACAGUCAUUUGGAUCUAUCCCAACUGCAGUUAAUAACACACCCGGAUGUGGACCUCUCAAGUGGCAACCAUCAACUCCAAUUAUCUUCCUACAACCAGAUUUAAAUCCUCUCUUUAGUGCCUCGAAGCAAAUGUAAAGUCUCUGAAAUCUUUGUUUUUCAGAAUCUUUAUCUAAUGUAGUUUCCAUAUACACUGUAGAACCAGGAUUUGCCUUCAUUAGUUCCUCACAAUAAUCCCACAAUCUGUUGUACUGAUCUUUGUAGCUCCCAUGGAUCAAAAUUUUUGCCUUCAUGAAUGUCUUAUAAACUUGAGGUUUAGUAAUGUUUACAUUCAGCUCUGCAUGUACCUUAUCCUUGAACUCAGAAACUGUUAUUCUCUUGUUCAUCCUUAGGAAGUCCACAUAUUUUCUUGCUAAGAAACCUGAGGUAGCUCUCUUGUGGUAAAAGGUCCUGCCACAUGUGUGUGCUGGACCCAUUGUCUUGAUUGCAAUGGAAUCAUCACCUUCAUCAAUUUUAGAAGCAAACAACAUCCACUUACAAUGUUCAGCUUUGCAUUUCACCCUCAUUCUAUGCUUAUCAUGCUUCACCCACUUUAUAUCCUUCCCCCAUUUGACUGCAUAAUUGUCAACUGCCAUCUUGAAUAGCUGCUUAUCAUCAAAUUGUUGACCAACAUGAAAUUUUGGAUCAUUCAUGUCCAUUUCUGGUCGGAAUCUGACCAGUUUGGGCUUCUUCCUUGUGCUAUCUUCAUCGGAGGAAUCAGUCACACUAUUUAGGUCAUCUGACACCAUCGAAUCAGAUUCCUCAUGAACUGGAAUCUGAUCUCCUUCAUCAACGUGUAGGUGUGAAUUAGAAGUUGCUUUGACUCUGAUUUUUUUUUUAUUGGGUGCUGCUGCCUGUCUUGCUUCUUUCUUUGCCUUUCUGUUUCUACUUUGACAAUUUCCUGUUGGCAAUUUAUCCAUUGCAGCACCUAACUCCUGAUAUGGAGCCACAACUGAAGUUCGAAAAAUGACAUCAUCAUCAUCUUCACUGAAAUCAUAGUCACUAUCAUGGAACUUUUCACCCUCCAUUGAGUCUGAGUUUACAGCAUCAUUAGCCUCAUCCGCAUCACCUUGUUCUACUUCAGCAGCCUGACAAGUUUCCUGGUUCUUCUUCUCAAGCUCUUUUAUUUUCUCCACAUGAACAGGAAUUUCCUCUAUGUCAGCAACAUCAACAUCCUCAAAUGUUAUGUCUACAAAGAAGUCAUCUUCUUCUUCUAUUUCUGUAGCAUUACAACUGUUUGAUGCAACUGCACUCUCACAUUUACUAUCUAUCAAUCUAAUGUGAAACUCAGAAACAACAUAAACUUCUGCUUCUCCAUUUUGCUUGCCUAUACAAGCCAUGUCAGUUGCUGCAUCAUCAGAAUCUAUUUUUCUCAACACAAGUCCACCACCUUCAGUUGGAAUUCUAUACAUCAUUGUUACAUUUGCAGGAUAUCCAAGAUAAUAGCAAAAGUCAGAUACAAUUGCUCUAUUCACUCUCAUGGCAAUGACACCUUCAAAACUUUCCAUGCUGCCCCCCAAAUAUUGCUCUACGGGUUCUUUAACAUAUACACCCCCAUGAUAGAUUUUCAAAGUAAAAAAUUCAACCUCUUGUCCUGCAUUUUUUUAAACCACAAAAAAGACUUAAUUAAUAACAACAUCCUGGUAUGUUAUAACCACAUCUGGGACCACAUCAGAAAAUUCAACCGCAAAAGUCAGAUCUGGGACCACAUCAGAACAUUCAAGUGUGCUGUUGUUUUCCUACUACUUUGUCUCGCUUUUUAAAACAUGAAAAUAACAGCACACUACAUUUUAGAACUACAGGGACCACAUCACCAUUAAAAAAAUUCAGUUUUAAAUAUGGCAUAUUUCACCAUCCCCAGAUCUGCCUAUGACCCACGCAGAAGACAUUUUUAAAAAAACACGUCAACCCCACAAUGUACCAUAUUCCACUAAUUAAUCGCCCACAUGCUUAACACUGUCAUUAAACAGAGAAGAAAAUGUUCAACUACUUCAGCCCCACAUACAACGACAAAGUACAAACACAUUAGCUUUAACAUUCUGAUGAAAAGGUUAAACUAACAUGCAGCAGCUCAAACAUCAAUGAAAAGAUUAAACUAACAUGCAGUUGCUCAAACAUCAAACAAGCAUAGCAGAAAAUGGAGAAGCUAAGUAAGAUCUGGUUAAAGCUUACUGGAUAGUGUUGCUGCAACUGCUUCCUUUUCACCAUCCUUGUCGCCAUCGACACCUUCCAUCAUCGAAGACACGGAUCUGCUCAUCUUUUGUUGGCAAUCACAUUUUCUUACAUUUUGAUCAGAAUGCCUAAUUCCUAUGAGCUCUGAAGAAGUCGAUUUGCAGGGGUUUCUUUUGCUAAUCGUGACAGAGCUGCCAUUCUAGUCAAGGUGUUUAGACAAUUAUACCUGUCAUUCCAAUUAUACCCCUGGCCCGCCGUGAAAAAUACAUAAAAUGUGGUGGCGCCGCCCAAAAAGUCCUACAUUGGACUUGAUAAAAUUGUUUGAGGACUAAAUUGGUGAAAAAAAACCGUGAAGGACUAAAUUGGUUUAAGUGAAAAAGUUUAGGGACCAAAUUGGCGAUUUGCCCAAAAAGUAAAACAUUUUUUUUGGAAACAUUAUUGUAUUUGCCUGGAUCUUAGAAAGGUCCAGGAUAGAGAUAGGGCCUCAGAAUACUACUGUUGUUUUCCUUAGUUACAAACUUACACAAGAAAAGACACUAACAAAGCUGGAGUUUUGCUGAGUGACCAUAGGCAAGGAUUGAGGUGGCCUACUUUGUAAUAGUAGAAGAGGAUAAGCACCAUAUGCAUCUCUCCCUUUCUCUCGCAAUCUAAGCUUAACAUCUUUCCCUUUCUCCAUUCUAUUGUUUGUUUGUAAGCUGCGACAGUUGAAUCCGUGAAGGAAUGAGUCCUUAUCCAUGGAAGCCUCAACGAACCAAUAAAAAUCUUUGCAAAACAAAUUUUAGAAAAAUGCUCAAACAGUAGCUCGUGAAAAUUGAAGUCCCAUUCCAACCCCAUAAAAUAAACACAGAAGAGAAGACUUGCUUUGUUUUUCUUUUCCUACGCUUAUGCACGUGAAUUCCCAAUAAUUUCUCAUGCAAAAGUGGGUCCUAAAGCCAGCCUCGUAUCUUUUGUUCUUAAGCCAAAUUCCAACUCUCAAGAAUCUCUCCACUUCUCCUCUUCUCGUCCCUCCUCUCUGUCUCAUCAGUCCUUCGUGCCUCCUUCCCACGUCCUUUGAUCUGUUAAAUAUUUCUAAUUGUUUUGUUUCUCCUUCAACAACUGCACCGGGAUAUUGGCAGAAAUCUAGAUGGCUUCUUGCUCAUCGUUGGUGCUUGUAGCUGUUAUUCUACUUCUUAGCACUAAUACUCGUGGAGUUUUCAGUAGCUACGGAGAGAAGGAAGUCCUUUCUCUGAAAAAGCUUCAAUGGUCACAGAGAAGUAGCAAAACAAGUUUUUUAUCGCAAAAAUCAAGUGAGUAUGUGAAAUGAUGAAUGCUAAUAGAUUCUUUAAUUGUGAAUUGUAACUUCGUAGCUUUAUGAACUCCUUUGGGAUCCGUUUUCAUGCACUGUAGUUUCUUGAAAAGCCAUAAGAUUCUUUCUCUGUCUCUUCAGUCUGAAGAGACUGGACUGGACCGCAGCAGUAGUACUAGUAAAGUAGUGGAAUUCAGCUGUAAAGAGCAAAGAAAAAGCUUAGUUCUCGAUUGUGGUACAGUUUUAGGCUAUGUUAACUGUUUGAAGUUGGCUAGAAUUGCUUCAUUGCCCCCAGAACUGAGAUUUAUUUGCAAAUUGUCUAAAUUAUGGACGCCAACAGAAAGGAAAGCCCCGUACGUACAUUCUUUCUCCUUGUUUAGAAUGGAAAAUUCAUUUCUUUAUAUAGAACUUAUACUGCAAGCUCAAGGUUCCUUUCAAGUAUAAAUUUUCUUCAUACGAAAAUGUCUGUAGAAUAAAUAAUACCUUUGCUUUUGCAGGAACGGAGAAUGGUGCAACUAUUUUGGAAAUGAGGCACAGAGAUUGCUUCUCUGGAAUCAUAUCUGACUGGAAUCAGAGGCUCCAAAAUUGGCUACAGGCCGAUAGAAUUCGAGUCAAGUCAAUACAAGCUCAAAUUAAAAUCUUGGCUUCCGGCAAAACUGAAGCCCACUCCCAAACUCGGAUUCCCAUUGCUUCUGGUGUAAAUCUGCAUACCCUAAACUAUAUCGUGCCUGUGACAGUAGGUGGCAGAAAUAUGACAGUAAUUGUUGAUACAGGCAGUGAUCUGACAUGGGUUCAAUGCCAACCUUGCAAAUUAUGUUAUAAUCAACCCGAACCUAUAUUUGACCCCUCAUUAUCAUCUUCAUACCAUUCAAUUCCUUGCAAGUCAUCAGCCUGUCAGUCUUUGCAAUUUGCCACAGGCAAUUCAGGACUCUGCGGAGGUGAUGCAGGAACAUGCAAGUAUGAUGUGAGCUAUGGUGAUGGAUCUUAUACUCGAGGCGUUCUGGGCAGCGACCGCCUAAUACUUGGAACCAUCCCUGUUGAGAACUUUGUAUUUGGCUGUGGAAGAAACAACAGAGGCCUCUUUGGGGCUGCUUCAGGUCUAAUGGGGCUGGGAAGGAGCGAUCUUUCCCUGAUUUCUCAAACUUCUGAUGUAUUUGGAGGUGUUUUCUCCUACUGUUUACCUACAACUGAUGUUGGUUCUUCUGGUUCGCUAAUAUUAGGUGGUGAUGCUUCAGUUUACAAGAAUUCUACACCGUUUUCGUAUACUAGAAUGGUUCCAAAUCCACAGCUGGUGACAUUCUACUUUCUCAAUCUCACUGGAAUUACUGUUGGCGGGGUUGCUACACAAGCUCCAAGUUUUGGUAAAGCUGGGAUUCUUAUUGAUUCAGGGACAGUUAUUACGAGGUUGCCUCCAUCAAUUUAUGAGGCUGUGAAGACCGAAUUCUUGAAACAAUUUUCAGGGUACCCUACAGCACCAAGCUUUUCAAUCUUGGACACUUGCUUUAAUCUUUCUUCAUAUGAUGAAGUAGAUGUUCCCACGGUUAAAAUGCAGUUUGAGGGUGAUGCUGAGCUCACUGUGGAUGUCACUGGAAUUGUUUACAUUGCAAAGAGCGAUGCAUCUCAGGUUUGCUUAGCUCUUGCAAGCCUGACUUUUGAAGAUGAGAUUGGUAUUAUUGGCAAUUAUCAGCAAAAGAAUACAAGAGUCAUAUAUGACACUAAAGAGUCUAAAUUGGGAUUUGCUAAAGAAUCUUGCAGUUUCUAUUAGAUUAGAUGGCCUAGAGGCUGCUGGUGGGGAGAGCCAAACAGCUAGUUGGCUGCUAUGAAGGAGAUUAGCCAUUUCUGUUUCAGUCAUGUAUGAUAUCCAUGAUUCCUAAUUAUUGGGAAUGGUAUAGGUAGUGUAAUUGUAUGAAAAGCCACUUGUAUUUGCUGAGCGUCCAAGUGUAAUAUAUGACACUAUGAAAUGUAGCUAGGGUUCUGGAGGCAAAAAGCUUCAAGUGCAUAUCGGUUUUCUCGACCGAGACUAUCCAUAGCGGAGACUUCUCGACCGAGUUCUCGGUGACUUGGCCGAGUUUUCGGCGAGUCAAGUAUCUCGAAAUCAUUUCGUCCCGAUAUCAUAUCGGAGGGGUCUAUUCCGAUAAUGGCUCGGCCGAGUCGUCUUGGUCUCGAUCAAGACUUUGAACCAUGCUUACACCUAUGCAAUUAUUAUAUGGAAAUGCGAUUUUUACUACCCGUCUAUCUCUUUGCUGGAAGGACAAAAUGACUACAAGUAUAUGAAAGUAAUGCUAAUUAGACUUUGAGCAUAGGAAUUUCCAAAGUUUAUAUCUGGAUCACCGGAGUGUGCUGGUAAAUGUGCAAACAUCCAAAAUCUGCAGUAUCUUCCACAAAUUCCAAAUCUAGCAAACUUAGACCACAAAUCCGAGAGCAGGAAUAUAAGAAUAGUGUACGAAUUAAGGCAGACAUCGGUGCAAACAAUGCCAGCGGGAUUUGGAUUGUUUUUUGGCUAUUCAGAGGUCUCAACAAGAAUGCCGCCAAAUAAUCUUGGAAAAACCAACACUUUUGCAGUGCUAAAAUAAAUGAAAUGGGAAUAUAAAAAGUAUUAUAUCAGAGAUUCUUAACACGAAUGACCACACACAAAGCUCAUCUUUGGAAAUGCCUCGUAGACAGAGCAUAUGAUUUCUCGUUCAUGAAAUGGAGCAACAAACAAUACAUAUUAGAAGUUGAAGGCACAAUCACUUGCCAAAUUUCUACCUGAUCUUGAUACCCUCCAGCCAGAAUUUGAGGAUGGUUAAAUCCUGGCAAGACUGCCAAAUUAUCUUUAUCAGCAGUCAAUUAAGCAAGUUUCCUUCACUGAAUCACUUUUGUAUCAAUGGCUUCCAGCCAAACUGCUUAAAUAAUGAGAUAGCUGAAAACUUGAACCAGCAGAAAGUCAAGGACGUUAUACACUACUGUUAUCAUAUGAGUAGCAUUUCUUCUGUCCUACUUCCCAAAAUAUUUCAGCAAACUUUGAUGUGAAGAUAUCAAAAAGAUUUGGAUCUUGCCCAUAUGAUAUGAUCUCUUGUCCGGCAGAAGCCGUUGGGGCUGAGAGCGUUCGCGGAUAAUCAAUUGCCUUGGGCAGGUCCAAAGCAAAUAAAAUGCAGGGAUGAAUAAAGGAACAGAUAGAUACAAGUUCAUUCAGCAAAAAACAAGUUUAAUUAAUUUGGAUCGCAGCUUUUGAAGCCUACGCAGCCAACAUUCCGUUAAUGCAAUUCCAACAAAUUACAAAGAGCAAUUUAUUUACCCUUGAAGGAAAUUUGCUCAUUUACUAAACACGAGUGUCGGUUCAAGCAUACUGCUAAUUCUGGUGGAUGCAAGAUGGAAUUAUUAUUAUUAUUUUUUAAAUAUUUUUAGUAGAUGUGUACUGAGAAGGGUAGAAAUUACAUCAUAUAAAUAUUUCUGAUAGAUCAAGUCAAAACCAGAGCAAUUAACAUAAUUGCCAGUGUUGUUUUCACCUCCAAGUGGUUUGCAUUAACUAAUUGACCCAUUAGCCAAAAUACGAUGUAUUGUCACUCCUGGUCCGAAAUAGUAACGUUAAAUAAGUUAUUUAAUGUAUUUAUGAAUCACAACUACAAGUAAGUAUACAUGCGUCCACACAUCCAUGUGCUACACAUACUACCUGUCGCUAUUACUAGGUUGUUAAGAAUUAUACACUUCCUUAUCAUCUAAAAUAAAGAUCCAAGGAGAGGCAGGAAAUUCCUGCAUAAGCACACUCAAUUUUUUUUUUUUUUUAAAAGUAUGGUCCAUGCAAUUGAUUAAACACCAACGGAAACUAACUCUUUUUAAGUUUCCCCAUAUACAGUUUAUCGCUUUUGAGGACGAAGGUAUGGUUAACCGACUGUGUAUCCCCAUAUACAGUUAAACAAAUCAACCGAAGAAUUAUGCCGGCUACAGUCCAGAAGUAACACGCACGCGCCGAUCUACGCUACCUAGCAAGAAAUCACCUACUGCUAAAAUAUACUACCACAAACUGCAAAACAUCAGACUUUGAGGUUUGAAUUCUCGUUAUUGACAAUAUUCGUCUGCUUGGCUGUAGAAUCUCCAAUGUCUGCUUCUUGCGACAAUCUAAACUUUAGAAUCUUGUGAAGUUGUGUUAUUGGCUUGACUUGCUUAGUGGGGGCACGCUUGUUGUCUACUAUACAUCUUCCGGUGAAAAGGUUGGCUUCAGAUGGGCCUGUUUCUUGAUGGAGCUCAGGAGCAGCAUCUACAAACAUAACUCAGUUUUAGUAUACUAUAGGAAGAGGUGUUCAAUACAUGUAUUCUUCCUAAGAUUUUUGCUAAGAAUGAUACAAAUUUAAGAUGCUGGAUAAAUAAUCAACUGUGUAACACGAAGAAAUUCAACAUUUCAAAGUCCAAAAUGUGUCCAAACUUGCUCGUAAAGUUUCAUCUACUCGUUCAGUGGUAACAGGGCAGAUAUUCUUCUUAUUCCUCGUUCUCUGCCCCAGUACUUACAUGAAGUCCAGAAUGACAAAUGUAAAGCAAGCGAAAAAUAGGAAAUUUUAGAACCCAUAGCCAGCUGAUUCUUUAGAGUGGGGCAAUUUGGCCAUCAUUUCAUCUACAACUUUUAAUCCAGUCCCCAAAGAACUAACCUGAAAGCAACUCAAGGAUCACCAAAAAUUCCAUUUCAAGUACUAGAGCAGUCAUUGUAAGUUACAUUGAAAUGAAGGGCACAAUAUUCGUUGCAAGAAAUGAAGGGUCUUGACCAUGGUGGAAGAUUGGUUAUUGACCUGUAUGCCAACCACUUAGACAACUACAAGCAAGAAUCAUCAGAAGACAAAAAUCCUAAAAAAUUUUGGUUGGAAUUCCGUUGUGCCAUUCAAAGCAUAAAAUCUCACUCAGCCAUCAUUUAAGAUACAGUAAUAGGACUUCAGCAAACUUACAUCAGAGCUAAUUAAAGUUGCAAAGUGCGUCAAAUUUGAAGUGAAGGAGGAGAGUAAGCUAAAGCAUUUGACUGAUGAGUUUAAAGGUAAAUAAGGGAUAAUCGAAAUUCAUUGGUCUAAUGAAGAGGUAUGGAGCCUUCUCUGCACUUCUAUGUCCAAACACACUUUUUUCAAAUUAAAAUAAAAAAGGACAAAGAACAGGGAGGAUUACAUCUUACCACAUUCGCUAAAAACAAGGCACGUCCCAAUUGUUUCUUCAUAUUCACCUAUCUGAGAAAUAAAAGAGUAGUGUGACGUGAAUACAUCAAAUACAAUGUAGUUUUCACCACCCAAACCAAACAAAUUCCAGAAAAGCUUAACACUCACCAGUCUAAAUUUCUCGUCGAUGAUCAAAGUUGGAUUUAGUGUGUCUAAACCCUGCAUAAAUUAUCAACCAAAGGUUAGACAUCACAUAGCAAAAGCCGGAACUGUAAAUCAUUUAAAAAAUUCCAAACUGCACCUAAAAAAAAAGCAAUUUAGAUAUUGAAACAAUUUUGAGCAUUCAGAAUUUCAAUCAGACUAAAUAACAAAACCAGAAAACACCGUAUCCACCUCUCCAGGAGCAGAAAGAAUAAACAUGAACCAAAAAGAUAAACAGACUGCAAAAGUUAUAAACAUUGGAUAAACCAGCUUUACAAUAUAUCUUCCAAAAUUCCAAACUUUUUGCUUCUAAACAUGGUAGCUUAAACAAGAACAGAAUAGAUGACGGACUUCGCAUUUACCACAACAGAAGCAGAAAAAGAACCAUAUUUAUAAUCAAUCAAGCAAUUUUACAGCACACACACACACAAAGAAAAUGACAACAUGAAAUUUAACAAUAUACUAAUAAGAAUAAAAAUUAGAGUUUGAGAGCGAGGUUGAAGAAAUAUUACAGAGAGAACAUAGGGAGCAUUGGGAGGAAUGUGAACAAGGUCCGUCACAGCAUCCAGAUUUAUCAAUACGUACUCUUCUUCCUCCACCUCUUCCUCCCUUUUAUCAUCCUGGUGCCAUCUUAUAUUGUUGUCUUCCAUCAUUAAUUUGAUUUUUAGCUGGAAAUAGCAUCAAUUAUUUCAGAGUAUUACUCUAAUCGCAUAAUAGUUAUAAUAAAUGAACAUAAUAUAAAACUCACGUUGAUGAAGCUGCCAAAACCAAAACCCCAGGACCCAAAACCCCUAUUAGCAUCGAAAGAUUCGACAUUUAGUAAAGAAAAUCAAAUUUCCCAGAAAAAACACUUGCUUAGCUUGGAAGGUUUUGUGAAACCUUGAUAAAGAGCAGGGAAAGUAGAGAUUCGAAAUUACUCAUACCCUUUUCGGCUCCAGGAGACUGAAAAGGGAAAAUAAUUCCUCAGGAAUGAGUUUUCUAUGUUUGGCAAAUAUGCAAACUACUAAGGAAAGAAAGUAAGUGAAAUUGCUAAGGGAAGUGUUCGCAUAAUUUGCCUAGAAUAAGAGAUAAUCAGCUUCCACACAAAAACGUGCGGAAACGGUGGAGAAAGAAGCCUAGAUGGAUCAACACGCAUAUCUUCAAGUAAAAUGAUAGAAUCGGAUCAGUUGUUAAGGAAAGUUACCCUCUCUUUUCUUUUCUGCAACUCACCGGACAGAGGAAGGAAGAGAGAAAAGGAGAGAGUCGCGUGAUUGGAUGACUACUGCCCGGAAUUGUCGCCGUCUCCGACUCUGGCGCCGCGUGGAAUUGGGUAGAAUAGUGGCUGCGAUGGACGUUGGUGGGGAUGGGGCUUUUUGGGCCGAGAAACGAUGGAGAAGAAAGCAGUUUCAAAAAUUUUACUUUAGCCCCAAAUCUUUUGUUCUAUGUGCUCAACCCCCUCCAGAGUUUUAUAUCACUGGACUUUACUUUUUAAUGUUACAUGUUGGCCGGUCAAUUUUUUGAGAAAUAAUUACAUUAAAUAACUUUUAUUUUUUUGAGAAUGAACAUUAAAUAACUUCUAAAUAGGUUUGACCAAGAUUAAUUCAAGUCAAAUAAUUGUUGCUUUAUAACUUUGGUUUACCGUUUUUUUUUUUAACCUCCCAUCCCUACUUGACCCUUCCCAGCCACAUUCAAUGGAAACCUGACCGCGAUAGAAUCUCUAAUAGCUGUUGUUUUAUAGUUUCGAAUUUUUAACCUUCAAUCCCUCUUUGGAACUUUCCUACCCACACUUGACAAAACCUAACAGCAACACAGAAACUCUAACAGUUUUUCCAUAAUCACUGGCUAGUGAUUUGCAGUUUUAAAAUAAUUAGGUUGUGUUUGGAUUGCAUUUUCCGUUAUCUUUUAUGAAAAAAUUACUGUAGCGAUUUGAUAUAUGUGAGGGAAAAAGGUGAUAGGGAAAUGUGAUCACGGAAAACGACAAUAUUUUCCGACGGAAACAAGCAAUCCAAACAAGGCCUUAGAAUUGAAAUCUCAAAUUCUUGCUCAUAAUGGCUAGCUUAUUUUCAAUCUUUUUGACAAUAAAAACAAAAAAAUUGUUAAAAUUCGUUUGAGGCUAUUCAAGUUUUUCGUCGUCCUUCCUGUUAGGGUGCUCUUAUGAAAUUUUCAUGAUCCUCAAAUCAGAUGCUCCUCUAUGGCGCUACAUGUGAAUCCCGCUAAUAUGGCAAAAGCCUUGUACGUGCUAAUAUGGCUCGUGCUUUUUGAUUUGGAUGCCAUCAGUAAUAUUAACCGAUGGAUUAGUCUCCUCGCUACUUCACUCUCUUCUAUCUUUAUUGUCUCCGCUUACUUUUGUGUUUGGAGGGCGUACUGUUGUAUUUGGAGGGGAGAAAUGUGUAUUAUUAUAUACUAACAAAAGGAGCUAAAUGAUAAAUAGUUUUGGUCCGCACGUAAAGUUAUUAAAAAUUACAAUUCAUGUCAAAACAAUAAUAAUAUUUUAUAGAUAAAAUUAUAUAAUAAAAAGCAAAAGGAUUCAAAGGAGUGUACACUACGACAAUAGGCUACAUGUUCAAAAUAGAGAGAGAAAAAGAAAAGAAAAGAAAAGAUAAAAUAGAUAUUCGUGUUUCAUAUAUCAAAAUUUAUAAUAUAAAAGAUAAAAUAGAAUUGAUUCAUUUAAAAUAAUAAAUAAACAAACAAAUUUGAGCCGUUCUUUUGGUUUUACUCUUUCAAACUAAACUUAGCUUUGCAUUUUCAAAGUAAAAGCACCAAGUUUAAAGUGAUGUCAAAUUUUCAAAGGACAGUUUAUAAUUGAAUCCGUGUUUAACUUCAAAAUUGAAGAGGUCAACUUUAAAGUGAAAAAGAAAAAUCUCAUAACAAUUCUUGCAAUUUGGUUUACGUCUUCAAAAUAUAAUACUUAACUGACCUUUCAUAAUAUAAAAAUUAUAUUAAACCAAAAAACUGAUCACAAUAGUUUCAAGUGUAGGCACCUGAAAAUGCAAAUAAAAAUUUGAUACUAUUGUAUAACAUCCUUAACAACUACAAAAAUUUUAAAAAUACUUAGAAUAUAAAAAUGACAUGGUGGUGUUACAUAUUUACAUAUGAAGAAAAUAAUAAAAAAUAAAAAAGAAGAAAAGAAUAAGAAUAUACAAAACAAUCAAAAAACUCUAGGAUGUUCUUAGUCAUUGGGUUUUAGGCUCUUCUUCAAGCCUAUCAAGGUCAAAUUUGGGUAAAUAUAUACAAAUUAAGUAGGUGUAGUUUAGGUUCAAAUAUUUUAUAUCUUUUCUUAAAUUAUAUUGUUAUUUCCUUUUUAUUUUUGGUAAGACUCAUUUUAUUUUCACUUUAUUUUUCAUCAAAAAUAAAUAUCUUAAAUUAAAAUUUUCAUGUUUGAAGGGCCAGUAGAAUUUAUUUUUAAUUUAAUGAUUUCAAAAUCUAGGCUUUAUUAAUGGUACCAUUAUUUAUUCGAUUUGGUUAACAAGGCACUUGUUAAGAGCAGUUUUGAGUGUUUAUUUUUUAUUUUUUUAAAAAAAAGUAUAAUUAAUUUGGAAGAGUGUCUAGAUACAUGGGGAUAAGUAACCAAUAUCAAACAUAAGCAUAUUAUAUUUUGGUAAGGUUGAUAAAAAUUGAAAUUCACAUUGCCGAAGAAUCCAGCCUGCAUCGUUCUCAAUCUAUGGGCAUAAACAUUCCUCUUUCUAUAGGCCGACUACAACCUAAACUACAUUACAAAUAACCAUGCUUAGAACGUAUCCAGAAAACCAACCAAGGUAGUAAUAAUAAUAAUAAUAAUAUAAACAGCAAUUCUCAAUUCAUUCAUCUAAUACGGAAGUAGUAAGAGAGUUUGGAAUUUGAAUUCGAAAUAAUGAUAAGAUUAGUUAUUUUAAAGAUUUAUUGAAUUUGAUGUAGUAUUAAAUUGGAGGCAGAAAAGGUGUAUCGGUUUUAACUCAGCAUGUAAAUCUAGGCUAGAAAAUUGCAACCUACAUCAAUUCAAUUCUUAGGUUACCAUAUAUUUCUCCUCUCUUCAAUCAAAAUUUAAAAACAGCUUAACCCCACCAGCAAGAGCCAAGAGGAGGAGCUAAGCAAUAUAACCACCAACUCACUAGCAAAACAAGACAAUUCAGAAGGAAACCAAGAAAUGUACUCCCCACACCAAACCAAACCCGCUCAUAGACGGCCGUACUAACUACUAACUAUCCACCCUUUUUCCUCUGCCGGCUUUCUGGUUUUCUCCUCUGAUUUGCCACCUCGCUCUCUUCCAAAUAAUCCAAAUAAUCUUCUCUCGUCGCCAUUUUUUUUUUCGUCCCUUUCCACCCUUUAUAUCCCUCACAUCUGAUCUGAGGAGGACCAAGUCAUUCUAAAUAGUUACCAUUAUUUCAUUACUAGCUAUAGUUCAUUGGUCCAUUAUUAUUCCUUUUUUCUAUCUUCCUCCUCCUUUAUAGCCUUUAAUCUCUGCACUCAUCAGAGCGAUCUUUCCUCAAUUUUUUCGUCCCUCGAGGUGAACUAUCUAAUCUUCCUUAUUUCAUGGCGAAAUCUUCCAAGCAGAAAACAAGUUCCACUACCACCACCACCACCACCAGCAUUGACGCCGAUAAUAAUAAUAGCAGUAACUCUACUACUCCCGUUGUCAAAACCACCAAAACUAAGCGAACCCGCAAGAGCGUGCCCAGAGAUUCUCCACAGCAACGAAGUUCUGUUUAUCGGGGUGUUACCAGGUACUGUAAAUAUAUGAAAGUGGUGUGGUGAUCAUCUUUCCAUAUAUAACCACGGCUUUUCUUUUCUUCUUUUUUGCCUUUCUUUAUCGAAUAAAAUUAAAGGGUUUCAUUUUACCACCUAUGCUUGCUGCAGACACCGGUGGACUGGCCGGUAUGAAGCUCAUUUGUGGGAUAAGAACUGUUGGAAUGAGUCGCAAAACAAAAAAGGAAGACAAGGUUUUCUUUUUUUCUUUUAAUCACAGCACUAUUUAGGAUGCAUGUUUUAACGUCUUUGUUUUAAUUAGUGGAGAGUGAUUAACGUGGGGGUUUAAUGUUUUCCUUUUUGUUGGGGUGUUUCUGUUGACCGGUGUUCACGGUGGACUGCAACAAAAAAUGCAGUAUAUCUUGGUAAGUAGGUUUCCAUCUUUAUCAGCAUUGUCAUAUAUUCUUUAAUUAUCACUAAACCUCAAUUCGAAUUCUGAAAAGAAAUAUUACUGUACAAUAUCGGUUUGAAAAGGUCCACUCUUCUUGCGCUCAUAUAUAUAUAUAUAUGAAAUAAGAAGAAAAAAAAAAAAAAAGAGUCACUACGUGGAUACAAGCAAUAUUGUACAAGUGGAUGUGGAUGCUCCAUGAAUCGGGCUUUCUUUUUUUUGGCUGGCAGGAGCUUACGAUGAUGAAGAAGCGGCGGCACAUGCAUAUGACUUGGCAGCAUUGAAGUACUGGGGACAAGACACAAUUCUCAAUUUUCCUGUAAUCUAUAAUUCAACUUGCAAAUCUUUUUUUUUUUGCCCCUUUUUGUUGAAGGAAUUUAUACUGUAAGAUUUUAAAAGACUUGAAUUUCUUUCUGUUAGAUAAUCAUAGCGGUUUUGCUUGAUGUAUGUAGCUCUCGACGUAUGGAAAUGAGCUCAGCGAAAUGGAGGGUCAGUCUAAAGAAGAGUACAUUGGAUCAUUGAGAAGGUACGUUGUGUACAAACGCAGUUGCCAAUAGGAUCACAAAUUUCCUUUAAAUGUCAUGGCCCUUUUUUAUUUUGAUGCAAUGUCGGAUAUCAACUUAAUUUGAAGAAUCUGUUUUGGCAGAAAAAGCAGCGGGUUUUCGAGGGGUGUCUCUAAAUAUAGAGGAGUGGCCAGGUAAAAUUAGUUUGUUUCUCGAAGGGAAUGAUAUUAUAUUAAUUUUCGCAUUUGAUGAGCAUGGUUCACUUACCAUCAAGCAAAAUAAAAGACAUGAAUCCCGCCUGUGAUUAAGACACAUAAGUAUGUUUCUCUCCUGAAAUUAGCACCUACCUAUCAUUUUUUUUUUUGGAGUUUUGUUUAACUGAUGCCCAGCGUUAAAAUUGACUAAACGUACCGUGUAAUUAUUACCCUUCCUCGCAUUUAUAUACUUUUUCCAGUUAUUUUUACUUACAUUCCUUUGUAUUUAUUUUAUUUUUUCUAAUUAAGAGUAUUAUCUUUUAAACAAUAUGACACGUGAAAUAAAUCGUAACCAGUAUCCGUUGGCACCCGUUAGACAGAUUUUUUUUUUUUUUUAUAAUGUACCAAAAUCCAAAUAUUUGUUGUUCAUAUCACAACUUAGUAUGAGGUGGGGUUUAUACUGAUACAUACACGGGAAAUUGCUGUACUCCGUUAAUGGCAAGGCCCCUCCAUCCAGUUCAUUUUAAAAGCCAGCCGGUUCUGGUGAAGUAAACUUCUUAUUAUAACUUCUGGGCAUCAUCCAGCCACAAAGUGGUUAGGAAGACGUAAAUUUAUGACUCUUGACUAAUUGAUGCUGGACCAAUGAUACAAAGUUGUCAAAGUAGUGCUUAGGUAUCCAUCACCCUUACUUGCCCAAUUGACAUGCAUCAUGCAUGCCAAGUCUGAUCGGUUCUCAUCAUUUUCAUGCAAUAGCACAUCAGUCAGUCCACAGAUCUGGUAGAAUUGAGAUGGAACUUUUUGGGAUGAUCUUCUCUCACAUUUUAGCAUUAAAUUCUGGCGGUGUUGAUUGCGCAGACACCAUCAUAAUGGGAGAUGGGAGGCCCGAAUAGGAAGAGUCUUUGGCAACAAGUACCUUUACCUCGGAACAUAUGGUAACUCUUUCCAUCUUGCCCUUUGUUUACCCUCUGUUGGCUGGUAUAUUUUUUAUGCCAAAAAUGCUCAUUGCCUCCUUCCACCAUAAGGACAAAUCUAACUAAAAAUUUUCGUGGUUUUUUGAGUGUUAUUCUUCUUCAUUUCUUGGUUUAAGAGCUAGAUUAAUUAUGACUCUCGUUGUUGUUGUUGUUUUCUUCUUUUCCCCUUUCCCCUGGUGUGAUUCAAUAAAAAAUGAACCUGCUUUCUUAAAAAACGUUGUCAAGAUUACCAAAAGUAGGUGACUAAUGCGUCUGCAAGGCUCAUUAAUUAAUGGUUAGAUAAUCUACUAUAGAAUGAAAUCAACAUCUUGGUCGCCCACCUAAUUAACCAACGGCUCCCAAUUACUUGCUCGUGGCACAACAUUUGGCACUUUCCAAAUUCAAUAAGCUAAUUAAUCUAUUCAAACAGAUUUCAUAAACAUGAUAUGACCCUUAAGAUUAUCUAUUGAUACGCCUAAUUAAUUGGAUAUUUUAGUAGAGAAAGCUCCUUGUACCUCCAUAUGUCACUAAGAUUGAUUUGCAUUCUUAACACAAGUCAUGCCAAGUGAAAGCAAACAAUAAUAAUAUUUUGUGUUGGUUCUCACGUGGUAUUAUUAAUAAAUACUCCCUCCGUCCCACUUUGACAGUCUUGUUUCUUUUUUCACACAGUUUAAGAAAAAGUAGUUAACUUUGUUGGAAAAGUAAAUUUAGAUUGCUAUUUUCCUAAAAUACCCUUACAUUAAAUAUGGUACAAUUUUAUGGGAACUUGAAUUGAUGGUAAAAAAAGAAUCAACUCUCAUUAAGUGGGGUAGGUUUAUAGUAACAACUACUUACAUUAAAUAAGGGUAUUUUAGGAAAAUUAAAAUACAACCACAUUCUUCAAUUGGGAAGUGGACUACAAUUUGGGACAGAUGAAAAAGGAAUACAUGACUAUUAAAGUGGGACGGAGGGAGUACCACAAUCUUGAGUAAUUAUGUAUAUCUAAAGAUGAAAAUUUUGAAGUAGUGCAUACAUGCAUUAAUGCGUAGUCAUGAACAGAAUUAGUAGAUGAUGAAAGAGCAUCAAAUAUGGUUGGUAGUUGUACGUGGAUCACCAAACUCUCAACUGCUAAGGCAAACAUUUAAGGUUUAAACUUUUUUGAUGGAGUAUUAUAACUUUUUCAACCUUUUCCACCAAACAUUAUAAUAUGUGGGAUGAAUUCUUGAAUUUAUUAUAGUUACGCCCAUGCACGUCAUGCAGCUACACAAGAAGAAGCAGCGACUGCAUAUGACAUGGCGGCAAUAGAGUACAGAGGACUUAACGCCGUUACUAACUUUGACCUUAGCCGUUACGUCAAGCGGCUAAGACCAAACCAAACUGGUAACGGUGUCAAUAACGUUGCCAGCUCUGAACAAAACCCUAACGUUGACCUCGAAGUUAAUCCAAUCAAGGAUGAUGCCAGUGAAGAAGUGGAUUUAAGCUUCAUCCAUCAGCAGCAGCAACAACAACAUAGCUCUAGCUCGCCCGACACCUCCACCACCACCACCACCACCACCACCGCGCCACAGCCAUGUCCAGCUGGCGGUGCCACCGCUUCGUCCGCGUCAGGGCUUCUCCUGCAGUCAUCCAAGUGCAAGGAAAUGCUCGAGCGGGCAUCAGCUGUUGACAGCCCUUCGACGCCUCCCGAACAGCCAGAGCCGCCGCGGAGGAGCUUCCCUGAUGAUAUUCAGACGUACUUUGCUUGUCAAGACUCGGGCAACUUUGCCGACGAACAUGACAAUAUUUUUGGUGACUAUAAUCCAUUUGCAUCAACUAUGUUCCCAUGUGAGCUUGAUGCAUAGCAGAAGAGACGCAAUUAUAUAAACGGUGGCUUCUCAAGAAUUAAAUAUAGAAUUAUACAUCGAUUUUGUGAAUACAGAGGUUGAAGACAGCGGCUGAGAAAUGAUAAGUAAGGCGACAAAAAAGAGUCUUAGGCUUCUAAUUAUUAUUAUCGAUCGAGUUUUUAGUUAACACGGUGCUUCCAUGCUCUUCCCAUCUGCAAUAUCGGAAGAGAAGAGUUUUUCUUUCCUUUUUACUUUUGUUUGUUGGUUUGUUUGUUUUACUUUGGUUGUUAAUGUAGAUAGGUUGGGUAUAGACAUUCAUUUAUCAGUUGCAUUGAUAAAAUUUUUGUAGCCAAUUAAGGGCAUUUAUUCUUCUGUUAGUGUCACACUGUCUAUUUUUUCUUAAACUUUUGUGCUUUAUAUCCCCUGUCCACCAUCUAAUCCAAGGAUUUGGGGCAGGGACGGUCAUACACGGUUAAGGGCCAAGAUUUGCCUUCAAAAUUUUGUGUGGCUGAGAUUACACCAUGUAACUCGAUUUCCGCACCAAGUGUGGGACCCAUCACUAUCUGUUGUGAAAAUACAUCCUGUGAAAAAAAAAUUACACGAUGUACAAAGAAAGUUACGCGCAAUUGAUAAUGACCAAAAUUGCCCGGGACGGUUGCACCUGCAACCGUCCGUGCCCCGAGUCCCUAAUCCAAAUACUUUCAUACUCAUGAGAAGCCAAAUAUUUGGGUCUGGUUGCCAAAUAUUUGGGACUGGUUGAGGAAUCAAGAGACUUCUUGAUAGGUUCUUUGAUACGAAAUAAAAGUUUAAAAUCAAUCGUUUAUGUAGAAGUAAUUGUUAGACAUUGGCACAAUGUGGAAGUUGCUUCUUGUCUAAAUCUAUGCUCUUUUUCCUUGAGCAUGCCAUGCCAAUAAUACUCCAAGCUACAGACAUUUCUCCUAUUAAAGACAAAGGACUCAAAAAAGCCUAUUCUUGCUUUACAAUUUGCUCUCCAGAUGCGAAUCAACUCCGAAGUUUCUCUCUUUUGGACUACUUGCCGGAAUUUUCUAAGAUGCUUCUUUCAUCUCCUUUUGUGAUUCACCCGUAAAAGCUGCAAAACAUCUAUGGUUAAUUGCAAUUGCCCUUAAACUAUCAAGUUUUUGAACUUUACCAUCUUAUAUUAUCUAUUUGUAUCAUAUAGUUUACUCAAAUAAGUUAAAAGUUUGAAUUUAGAUUACUGUUUUUGUAUGAAAAAUUUGUAUACCCCAAAAUUGCAUUUGUUUACCAACAAUCCCCUUGUUCACGUAGGGGUGUCAAAGUGUUUUCACUCAAACGUAGCUAAGAACAUCCAUUAGGGAGAAUAACUUAAACACUUGUCUUCUUUUUUUAAGGGAUUUUUAAAGUACUUUGAAGGACCAAGGAAGUCACCAAACAAAUGUACCAUACCUGCAUUUCUCAAUGUCCGCCGAUUAGGCAAUUCUUCCCAAAUAAACUGAAUGCUUGAAUCUUUCUGUUUCCUUGGACUUUCUUUAGUGUCAUUUGGUUGGAACUUCUUGUUCUCCGACCUAAAGAAUUUAACAUACUUUCUGAUUGGUGCAAUGAACAUAUGUCGAUCGAAAAAACACAAACCAGAUUCAUCUUUAUCUCUUCAAUUCAGACCAGCUUCCAAAUGUCAGCAUGCAUUUGCACAAAAGGCCAGCUCAGGGCCAUUUAUUGGCAGUUAGCGACUAAAUUAACGGGCAAUAUCCGAUUUUAUGCGUAAAAAUCCGCAUCAGCUGGUCCCAAAUCCAAAAAAAAAACAAGUGGAAAAUAAGCAACCAACUGGCAACCUUUUUGGAGUUCUACGCUAUCCUGCUCCCCCGACUUAGUAUAAUGGGAUAUGUAUUCUGGGAUUAUUUCUUGGGAAUUCAAUGUCACAAUCUUUGUUAAUGUACUAACCAGCAAGAAGAUACCCAUGUGGACAACGUCAAAGCAUAGGUAAGGUCAAGUAGCGUGCUGCUUAUAGCUUGAGACAGUAAGUUUGGGAUCAAUUUUGUUUAAAUUUGCUUUGUCGGAUGUUUGUCGUACUCUUGCUUCGUUUUAUUUUCUUUUCCUCGUACUUAAUUCAGGGCUACCCGAAUUUGCUUAGAAGAUUUGGACAGUGCAUAUAUGAUUAACUUUCUUUACAAUUGAUAAAUUCCUGUGUGUGUAGAUUACCUAAAUCUAGAAAAUUGUAUGGCUAUCCGUACUAUAAAGUCGCUUUUUUUUGGUAGAAUUGGCAAAUUGGAGAUCUUAAAUUUAUGCAGUAGCCUGUGUACACGAGAUGCUUUCAAAUUCCCACGUACAGGCUUUUUGAUAGAAUUGGUCCACUCGGAGGUCUUAAAUUUAUACAAUAGCCUAUCUCCUCUAUCUACAGGAAAUGCUUCAAAAUUCCCACAUAAAGAUCACACAGAACAGUGCAAAAGAAAAGAUUGGAGAAGAAUCUGAUACUUUCUCUUAUCUCCAUUUAAUCAUCUCUAGUCGCCUAGCAUGUUACCAAAGUAUGGUAUUCACAAAUCAGAAAUCAGAAUGUUACUUAGAGCCUCAACCUCAACUGUGGAGGCCCCCCAAAUCAAGCUAAGAAUUAGCUAAUGACCGAAGAACUCGCUAAAAAUUAUCUUUCCCUCGCUUGUAAAGAACUAAAACCAAAAGAAAAUCAUAGUCAAUGAAAGUUGCUGCUGCUUUUUGUGUGUCUAAUACCCUGGUCUUGCUUCUUCUACCUAUGUUACUGGCUUAGAGUUACAUACAUGCUAGCUUCAGGUCUUCAAAACGAACUUCUGCUUUGAAUAGUAUGCCUGGCACCUCUAUCCCUUGUUGGCGGAGGAAGUCAGCCAAUGAAUCAGUGGCUUCAUCUUUGGCUGUUGCAUUGCCAACAGGAUAUUGUAGUUACAUUGUGCAACAGGCCUUUGAAUCAAUAGAAGCUAAACUGAUGCAGAAGGCCUGAAAUCCAGUCAUGGGAUAUCUGCAAGAUAGAUUACAUUCCUUGAAUUAUGACAUUGGUAUAAAAAAUUCAUUUCUUGCUUGACUGUCGUGUGUUCCAAAAUUGAAUUAGUUUUCUCUACGCAGGUACCUGAAAUCCAUCACAUAGUUGGACUUCCCCACCCUUCCAAGCUGGAGGAUUGUCUGCCUUCCAUUCUUCUAGUGACACAGAGAAUCUUUUAGAAAAUCGAUCGACAUCAUUAUGCAAAGUGUCGUCUAUGUGAAACAGAACCUGGGGCUUUAAGAGCAUAUAAUAGUUAUGCUUGAGAAACUAAUUCUAUUCGUUUGAUUUAAUCUUGUAAGGUCCUUACGUCGAUCUAAUAAGCUAUCAGGAUUACCUCCAAUGUCAGCUGGAAAUUCUUUACUGAGCUCUGGAUCCGAAGUCCUGUCCUUCCUCUGUCUCUAUAAUCUAAUUCAUACUUCUUUGAAAUCUUUUUGCACAAUAAAGCAGUAAAUCAGCAGAUUAAUCGAGUAAAAGUGCAAAACAUCUGUGAAGAAUAAAACAGCCACCACAUACAUUUACCUUAUUGUAGUGUGGAACCCUUGAGAACAGUUGAUGUACUUUGUCCAUUUUCUCCUUCCAAUCCAGGGGUAGUCCAUUGAUAUGCUGUAAAAAAGAGGUAUAAGCAUUUUUCCAAUCUAAAAGGAGACUAACGUUUAUAGCUCCAUAUGAGUAAAGAGUUAGUUGCUUCUGAUUAAGUGAAUGUGACAGAAGAUAUGAAAAAAAUUGUCAAGCUAACCUGAGUCACGUUCUUUAGCUGCAUUGAUUGAUGCUUUGGUAUCCAUGCCUUGAUGCUUCUAUGACUACCAGUCCAGGUAGUUAUGGUAGGAGUAAACCUAUUCACAAAGAGGGGAAAUAAUUGGCUUUAACAGUUUGCAAGAUCACAGAAAAACACAGAAACAUAAAGAUAGGGAGGGAUGAUGUAGCUUACGUUACAACUGCAAGUAAUUUGAACAGUUUGGUCAAGGGAUUGAGUUGAUUUCCCUGCAACAAAUUGGCUAUGUCCAAUUAGAAGCUUGAAAUUUGUGCUUGCUUUCGCUCUUGAGCAGAGCACCUUAGCCCUCUAUGAGAGGCACUACAAUUCAUUUGGACUUUUCGUAUCGUACCUGGCCCCAUAAAUGGUAUUUUGAACCCAUAAGAUUUGCUGUCAUAUUGCCAAUUAAACUGUCAUCCUGACCACUUACUAAUCCCUUAACACAUGAUGCCACCAAGAAUUCUGAUCUUCCAUUUCGCCUUCUGUGAUGAGCAACAGCAAGCUUUCUGUUUUGUCUGCCAUGACCCUCCUGUGACGUGUUAAAGGCGAAUCAUAAAUAUGUUCAGUGCAUCUACUGAGAAAGUUCUUGUAAUUAGAGGUCAACAACAUUACUGAUAGGAAUUUUCUUAUAGCAGAGCAUUGUAAUCAAAUUCAUGCACACACGUCUAUGUUUCUUGCUCCAAUGAGGCGUUUCAGAAAGCAAAUUGACCAUUAACUAUAAUGGUUAUGAUUGGUCGAAAAACGUCAAAAUAUUAUUAUUUUUAAAAAGCAUAGUGACUAUAAUGAGCAGCCAAAUUUCAAACUCAAUAAACAAGAAGGCCUAGACGCUUAUAAUCCAAUAAUCAUAAUGAUAUCAUAAUCCCUAAGCAUAUGAGCUGCCCCUCUGUGCAUAUAUAAGAGAACUGCGGUAAAGUGCUGCAGCUAAAACUCCAUUUAUAUCUAUCAAGAUUUGAACUUUGCACAGAAGCCUUACUAUUUUGUGAGUUUUGCACAGAUAUCUAUCAAGCCUUACUAUUUAUAUCUAUCAAGUUUUGCACAGAUAGGCUAAAAACUCCGUGAAGCACCGCUUAAAGUUGCAAAAGAGACUUACAUGAGUGUAAAGAGAGUAGAGGGUCCCUUUAUCCAGUCCUUCUGGAGAUGGUUCCUUCACUAUGAGACAAGUACACCUUCCAAUAUCCACAGGUAAAGGCCUACAUAACAAUGACCUGAAAACAUACCGCCAAAACAUACAUUAUUAAUUUGCUAAAAAAUAUGCAAGCAGCUUCUUACAUGGGAAAUCUACUUAAAUGUCAGACCUAUUAGGCAGAGUAGACCAGGAGGAAGCUGGUGCAGCCUCUGAAUCAGAGUAAUCCCAAAUAUUCCCAGAAUUUGUAGUUCCAGAAUCAACAGGUUCCAAAGUUCUGGUCCCAAUUAUCGAAUCAGGUUCAUGUUUCUUCAUACAUAGCUGAAGUGAAGACGGCUUCAAAGCCCUGUCUUUCGUAUUCAAAUUAGGACAAUUAGGGACAAAAUCCCCGGGGUCUAGCCGAAUCCCUUUACAGAAGCCUGCAUUUUCUUUAUCAUUCCAGCACCCAAUUUGAGUCCUAUUAGGAGUAAAAUUCUCUUUGUCAUCAGAAGGAACAUUAGCAGGGUUGAGAUUCCUUCGAAUAUGCACAGCAAGGGGAACAAUGUUGUUGCCUGAAUUCCCACCUUCGCUGGAGCUCCGGUUAUGCCUGAGCUCACUGAGAGGAUUAGCAUAUAAGGAAUUAUACGAAGACUGCCGAGGAAACACUGAGGUUUUCUUGAAUUCAGACAUUCUUUUUUCUGGUCUGAAAAUGGAAGUAAAAGAUAGAUGGGGUGAAGUAUCGAAGCCUAUGCUGCUGCUGAAGUGGGGUGGUGGUUCAUGUAGAUUUUCUCAUGGGAUUGUCGGUUUUUGGUGCUUUUGAAGUGAAGUACUCGUUGGUAGACUGGAUAUGCCAUCUGCCUUAUCUAGUGUUUGAUGCCAUCGAUGGAAUCAACAAAAAUCAACCGCAAUUUGAAUUUGAAAAUUUUGUAUUGGAAAAUGUGUGAGUUGAGGAUUUUUGGAGGAAAGUGUAACGGUAACUAGUUUUGUCUGGGACUUCUUGUAGGGCUUUGGUGGUCUGGUCGGUUGGACAUGGGAGCCGUAAUUCGUGAAGAUUAAUAAAUACUCGGAGGCGGGAAGCAGAUUUGAAUAGAGGAAUCAAUAAAAGUAGGAAUCUAUUGCUAUCAUCAUUAAAAGCCUUGUCCUGUUACGUACAAAUCUGGUAAGUAAUUAUGACUCAAAAGAAUACUAAGUAACUCAAAACCCGACAUCCAUCACCAUGGUUGGCUGUCCCACAUCUUCCAGUUUUGUUUCUUCAGGCUAAUUGCAAAGCGCCCCCUGAAUUACUUCCUGUUUGCCAUGUAAUCCCUGAGCUAUCAACUCUACUGUCUUGUGCUAGCAUCUUGUGGUGAAGCGUUAAUCCAUCAUAUUAUCGAGUUAUUAAGUGUGUUUGGAUAGUAAAUUAUUUGAGAUAAUUUUAUAAAGAAAACACUACUGUAACACUUUUUGGAUGUGAUGUAUGUGAAAUAAAAAAAUGAUUGAAAAAUGUGUUGAUGAUGCAACCAAAUCAAUCAAUAUGUGUAAAUAAUGUAUAAUCCAAACAAACUCAAUUAUCAUUUUACACUUCAUCAAGUUCAAGUGCGAGUUUGCUAAAAUGCAACUAUCUAGCAGAUGAUUUAGCAAGUACAUUAAAAAUGAUAGUAGUUGAUUGGGGAAUUUUAAGAUUUAACAUUUUUCUUCAGUAUUUGAAAAAGAUCUUAAGAUGGGGAAACAUUUCAUUUGCACCAAUUGAGUUUCUGUACACUUAAAAAUUUAAAAUACUCUCUUGUCACGUUCUUGGUAUUCUAAUCAUUUUUUUUAAAUUUUUGAUUAUGUAAUCCUUGGAAUCUGAUUUAAUUUUGCUAGGAACAAGAUACUAUCUACCAUGUGUUUGAGCAACUACAUAUGAGUUAAAUGCUUAACAAUUCGUACUUUCUUUCUUUUUUUUUUAUCGACACAGGGGUGUUCGGGUCAAUUCUUACGGGGCCCGACUAAUUCCCUGCUUUACAAUUAGUACUUGAGCCCCUGGAAUUAUGUCUUUAUGGACAAUAAGCCAUUUAUAAAGUUUUCAAAUUGCAAUUUAUUGAUUGGCUAGAUCCCUUCAAGUUCUAACUCAAGUUGUCCAAUUUUACUCGGCCAAAAUUAUUAAAAAAAAAAAAGAUUUGUGUUUAUACUUGAGGUUGUCCAAGAUAGAGGUGGCAACAAGGAGGCACUUGUAGUAGGGAUGGCAAUAAAGACAAAUGUCCAUAAGUGCAUGUCCUUGCAAGGGAGGAAUAGGAAGAGGGUUGGAGCGAAGCAAGGCGGGGGUGGUGGGAAAUUUUCUCUGCUGCAUUGAAUGGGAUGAGGAGGGGAGGGUGAGGGAGCAUAUCCCCACCCCCCUCCCCGCCUCACUUAUAUUUUAAUAUAGUAUAAUACAUAUGUAUGAUAUUAAAUAAAUGCUAUUUUAUUAUUUUUAUUAAAUAAAAAUAUUGUAUGAAAUAAAUAAUAUGUUAUGUUGUCAUGUUAAGGUGAUAUAAUUUUUUUGUUGAAACUUUAAAAGAAAGAUUGAUAAAGGGAAGUGAUAUUUAUACCCCUUAGCCUAGCACUCGUUGGAAGUUAUAUUUUUAGUGAAUGAAUGAAUUGGAGUGCAAGGGGUUAGAUAAGUAGGGGAUGAGAAUUUUUGUAGAACUGUCCUCUGCCUCAAAACUGCCCUGUUGUCAUCCCUAGACCAAGACACUUAGCUUUCUGUGAGUUUAUUUUGCAUGAACAUAUUGAUUUAUGACUUUAAGUAUUGCUUCAUUUGUGUAUAUUUAUAAGCUUCAUGAUAAACUAAUCUUUCAUAGAUUAGCUAACCAUUAGGUAAAGCAUAAAAUGCAAUUUUGGAUGCAAGUCAGGAUUUUAAUCCUUAAACUUGCAUGAGUGCACCCCUUGGCGCCCUCUUAUAGAUUUCCAAUAUCUCUUUUUUUUCGAUUUUAAGGAGGCUCAAAACCUUACAAAAUGAAGCAAUACGUGAAAAUAUUUGAAAGGAGACUAAAGUAAUAAAUGCAAAUAUUUGAAAGUUCGAUCUCUUGAGUCUUGACUAUCUGGUUACUGUUGCCAAAUUGGAUAUCGGGAACUCUACCUUUUUAGUCUUGAAACGUUUUGCGUUCCUUCACCCAGCCGGCCAGCCUAUCUGCCUGUGCAUGAUUCUGACCCGACUAAGUACUUAAGAGUCGACCCAAAGGUCAUGCCCCAAAGUCCGAAUAAAACACUGGACCUAACCCGAUAUGCCACGCUGAAAACGAGUGGCUUUCUUGAUGACCCGAAUCAUCUGAAAAACCAACGCACACUUCCACCAUGGCACCAAAGCCAACCAGCCACCAUCACCAUGGCCGCCGCCGCCGCCGCCACCACCACUACAAUUGCUCUCUUCACUAGCUCCUCUACUCUCUGCUGCAGAAAACCCACCUCAUUAAGACCAAAAAUCUUCAAGAUAAAAGCAUCAUUGGCUACUAUGUCCGCAACUACAACCAAAGUUGUCCCUGCGAUUAUAGUAGGAGGUGGACGUGUAGGAAAAGCUUUACAAGAUAUGGGAAAUGGUGAUGAUGUUUUGGUGAAGAGGGGUGAAUCCGUGCCCAUUGAUUUUCCUGGGCCCGUCUUGGUUUGUACUAGGAACGAUGAUCUUGAAGCUGUUCUUGAGUCUACUCCCAAGUCUCGUUGGAGCGGUACGAUUACUCGCUAUCUAAACCUGAUUCCUACUCUUGUGGAUUUUAAUUUUCCUUUGUUUCUUUGUUUUGGAUGGUCCAUGCAUGAAUUUUUGAGUAUUUCAUCUCGUUUUUUUGUAGUCUCAAGCUAUCUGCAAAGACCGAAGUACGUUACUAGCACAUAGGGCCAGUUCAGUAUAGCAUUUCUUAAGAAUCAAAAGUUGGACGAAAGUUUGGGAUAAGUAACUAUUGGUAAUACUUGUAUUCUAGCACAUAAGGCCAGUUCAGUAUAGCAUUCAUGAAUUUUUGAGUAUUUCAUCCCUUUUUUUUUCUCCUUUUGGUAGUCUUUGGCUAUCUGCAAUGACCGAAGUAAGUUACUAGCACAUAGGGCCAGUUCAGUAUAGCAUCUCUUGAGAAUCAAAAGUUGGACAAAAGUCUGGGAUGAGUAACUAUUGGUAAUACAUGUAUUCUAGCGGUUGAGCAUCCUGAAUGCUGUUGCUAGAUAGGUUGCUAGACGGGUGAAAAAGAUAGUGUUUGAGCUACAAAUGCUUUCGAGAAAGUGUGCCAGUUGGGUUUCCAUUUUUUCAUUUGGUGCUUUGAUGGUUCCCUUGUAUAGUUGUAUAUGUAAAUUACUUGACGCAUUUUCCUUGACUAGACAUUUUUUUUGUUUCAUUUUUCUUUGCACUCAUACUAGUAAAAGAAAUUUGCUUUUUGGUAAGUACAGGGGAGUAUGAGAGGAAAUUAUGUAAUAGACUGGCUUAAUGAUUGUUGGGUUAGUUCAGAACUGGGUAGUCAUACUUCAAAGGCUUUUAUCUUUAUCAUCCUGUUUCAGGAUGAAGAACUAAAUGUUUCUCUAAACCUGAUUUUCAUGAAUGUUUACCGGUUCUACAUGAUAUAAUUUUAUGCACUAGCCAAGGAGUUGUAGUGGAUAGAUGUGUAAUAGUGCAUGUUAGGUUGAAUUAGAAUGGGACAUAGGUUGAUGUGUAAGCACUAAGCACAGUUGUAAUAGAUGUUGAAAAUCUAGCAGAUCUGGUUUUUUUCCAGAAUGGGAUGCUGGAGACUUGGUUCCAAAGUAAAGGUCUUAGUGACCCUGACCAAGUUCUGGCAUAUUUUGCUGUUUCAAAGCUUGGUGAACCUCCUACUGAUGGGAAAACAGACACAAAUCCUGAGGGACUCACAGCAGCUUAUGGGAAGUGGGCUUCUGCAGUUGCUGGUAGAUUGCUUGCAGGAGGUCUUUCAUGUAAGGUAACAAAAUUAGUUUUGAUUUCUAUUGAUUGUAAAUGAUCUCUUAGGUGCAAAAAUGAAACCCAAUCAGCUUUUGAGGAAAAAUUAGGAGCGUCCAGGUCAAUGAUUGUGAAAUAGGGAUGUCCAUUUGCUCAUCCAUGCAGGCGAUGAGUUUAAUUGUCUGAUGAAAACACCCGCUUGCAUUAAUUCAUCCUCUGCAAAAAUUAAAUAGUUGUUGAGAAUCAAAUCCACACUUGGCCAUGUUUCUUCCUGGUGCCAAUGAUAUUUGAUUCUUUGCCCAUAUAUGGUAAUUGUCUGGUGAAAACAUCAGCAUGCAUUGAUUCAUCCUCUGCAAAAAUUAAAUGGUUAUUUUCAAAGAGAAUCAAAUCCACACUUGGCCAUGUUUCUUCUUGGUGUCAAUGAAUAUUUGAUUCUAUUCCAUAGAUGGUACUCUUGUUUUGGGGAUGCUCUAUAAAUCUAUCAUGUGAGUGAUAGUUUAUAGACUAGAGCUGGCAAUUUAAGUCAUUAACCAGUUCUCCUGAUUUCGAUUUUUUGGUUUAUACAUGCACCAUUACACUUUUCUGAGUCACAGGUUUGAGAUUCUAUAGUAAGAUUUUUCUCGUGGAAAAUUUAGGUUCUUGAAAAGGAAGCAUUCCAGAAGCAAAUGUUCGAGAAGCUUAUAUGGAUAUGUGCCUUCAUGCUCGUUGGUGCUCGCCAUCCUGGAGCAACUGUAGGCAUUGUUGAGAAGGAAUACCGAUCUGAGGUAAAUUUUUUGCAGCUGUUAAACAAGUGAAGCAUGACAUUUUUUCACUUAUCUUUUAUUACUCUUAGGAGUAAUUUUGACAAGCAGCACUCAUUUUUCCAACUAUUAUGUUACCUAUGGUGAAUUGAAUGCACCUUUUGCAAUCAUUCUUCUGGUUGUGCAUACAGUGAUCCAGCUUAUUCUCAGUUUGUAUCUUUACCAGGAACUAUUAAUUUGAUGAAAUAUUUUUUUUCUUUUCUUUUUUUUUUUCUAGGAAUGAGGAUCUCUUGUCAUGUAGAAAAAUCACGUACAAUGGAAAUGGCAAAACAAUGCCACUUCCUAACAAAUAGUUUUGUGAAAGGAAAGUAAAAGAAGAGAGAGAUUCUAUAGGUUCCCUAGAACUCAAGCACUUGCAUUUCUUAAGGCACUUUCAACACAAUUCAUUUCCUUCUUCAGCCAGUAGGUGAAUUUUUGGGGAGGAUAUGCAUUUGUUGAAAUUAUGUUUAUGUUUGAGCAAUGCUGAGGGUGAGCUGCAGCAUUUUCUUAAAAAACAAUUUCGUCUAUCUUGGUCUGGGAAACAUAGCUCUUAGACAUCUUGAAAAUUUUCUUGGUGUGCAAUUGGUGACUUUUUCUUAGCUUACCCAACAAUUAAAAGUAAUUGUACAAUGGAAAAGUAAAGGAAGCUGCAAAAAAUUGGAAGAAGAUAUGUUAAUGGUUUGAUAAGGACAGUGGUUCUGCUCAUUUCGUGAUCUAAACUGAAAAGCCUGACAAAGAGCAUAAAUUUAGUUGGCAAACACCUUCCUUUACAUCACCUCUUAUCAGGACAAAAUAUUUACAGAUUGACAUUGCUUGUAUCAGUCCUAACUUUGUACGUGAGAGACAGCAGGAUGAAGUCUCAGUAUAUAUUAUCAUUACAGAAAGUCUGAAAGACGGUCCAUUUGUCAACUCCUCAUAUAUUCUGGAUUGAAGUUCACUUACUGUACAAGAGACAGUUUUAAGUCUUAGGUUCUGAAUUAACCUAGUUUUGAAGUUGCAUCAUGUUUCUGACUUCUAAGUGUGCUCAUGUAGAACAUAGAAGAAACUUGAAUGUCUCACUAAUUUAUGUUACACUGCAUGAGCCAUACUAGUAUGGUUUUGCAUAUUAACAGAAUUAGGUGCUAACAUUUAUUAAGGUUGCAGGUGUCUAGCCUCAUCUCUGAAUUGGCUGCUGCAGCAGCUGCAGGAAAGGGCAUUGUUUUUGAACCAGCUAUGGAGGAUAGACUAUGUGCUUACUCUCGGACAGUUGCACACUUCCCAACAGCAGUUAAGGAGGUGAAGAACGUGAAUUUGUCGUCUGUUAAGUGGUUGACUGAGUUUUUUAAACUUAUGAAUCUUGUUUGAUGCUCACAGUUCAAAUGGAGGAAUGGUUGGUUCUAUUCACUUUCUGAUAAGGCAAUCGCAGAAGGGAAACCAGAUCCAUGCCCAUUACAUACAGCAUGGCUAAAAGAACUAAAUGUAGUAUAACUCGCAAGUUUCUAUAGAUCAGAAUCAAGGCUGAUGCACACAAUGGUUUCAGUUUCUUAGAUCAGGCAGUUCCUUCUCCUGACUGCAGUGCUUUUGCCUUCUGGUGCGUGAACUUUAAACUUGUCAGCAUCAGUAUGCUUGCAGAAUUGCAUAAAUUUCAAUUGCUAGAUUCAUUACGUCAUCCAUUAAUUUAUAUGCUGACAACGAAUUGUAACCUGAGCCCUAGGCACUUGUACACAUGAUUUGGGCUACGUAUAUCCAAGAUUUAACAGAGUCCAGGCAGGAAGAAAAUCGAAGGGUUAGAAAUUCAGGUCUUAAUUAAUUCAAUACAAAAUGGAUGUUCCUUUUUAUUCGACAUAUUGAGGCGUCCUGGAUAACUUGAAAAAGUCCCUCAUGCUUUUUAAUUUAAAGCGAAUUUAAACCAUUUUUGCACGUUUGUAACAUCUAAUUGCAGAAUGUGUCUCCUUGUAUCAUCUGAUACUCAAUGCAGACUAUUUUUCAUGAAUAAACCAAAAGAACACUACUCUUUCGGAUGUAAAUAAUUGACUAAAUACAACCAUGGGCCCGUGGAAAGCUCGCCUUGGGGGCAUGGUAGAGACAGGCUUUGAACAGAGGCAUACAUUUGCUAGGUAGCACAACCAUAUCAUCUAACGUCAUAUUUUCAAGGUUAAGAGUAAUAGCCCUUCGGUGUGUUACCAGGGUGUCAGUAGUAUUUUGUUCUGCGCGUGAAAGGGCAUCGUCUCCUCCCGCUUGAGUUCACUAUCUAAGCCACCUGCACGGGUUACAGGUCUUUUCAACAUGCUGCAUUUUAAAUACCACCACCAGCUGAACGAACGAAUGCAUAUGGUACUCAACAAGCAUGACAACAUUUGAAGAACCGAGUCUCUUGUUUCUUUCAUCAUUAACCAUGAUAUUCGCUCUGCAUUAUAUCAACAGCCAAUACCUCUUGGACAAAAGAAUGCAGUUGUAGAUCUUUAUCAUUCAUGAAGCCUGUAGAUUCAGCACUCCAAGCAUGUUGACCUUCGAACUGCUGAGCUUUAAAAAAUUGUAGACGUGGAAGAAUGAUAUGGACUUGCCAACAGUACUUCAUGGAUGGGCUCUUUCACCUUGUCAAGCAUCAUAAUCCGUAUCUGUGCUGUUUUGUGCUGUUCCUAAUCUGACCAGACGUUCCAUUUCAUCAUACACAUCAAGAUUCUCACAUGGGACAGGGAAGAUCUUUCCGAUUGCACGGCCAUGAACAUAAGAGCACUGGAAUAUAUGCUUCUUCUUGUAUGUUAUCCCAACUAACAUGCCCCUAAAAGUGACAUUCCGCACAGGAAUUUCUCGGCUCCCAUAUAUGCGAACUGGAAUACGAAUUCCCUGUCCAUGUAUGGAGGUGAAGCUUAUGUCUUCAAUAACUGGAAGGGCAUUUGGAUCAAAGCCUUCAUCUGGAUGCUCAUUGUAAUCAGUUUUUAUCACAAUACCCACCCGCACAUUUUCAAAUGUCAGGUUCUGGUAGGAUAUAUUUCGAACAUAUCCUCCCCUACCAGCACUGGUCUUAAUCCUUAUACCCCUUUUAGAGUUCCAUACCAGGAGAUUCUCCACUGUUAUAUUUGAGACUCCACCAGACAUUUCGCUGCCAAUUGAUACUCCUGCACUGCAAAAAACAUGUACAGUUCAGUUGAAAGAGAUACGUUACAUAUGCUUCCUAGUCCACGUCACGAAGUCAGAAAGAAUGAUGCACAAAUGCCUAUACUUCUGCUACUCUCAGAAACUUCCAACCUUCUCGAGUCCAUGUCUCAAUAUACAACCCAAAUGUGCAUAUAUAGUGCACAGGCCAGGUGGAUAUCUUGAUACAUAUACCAAGCCAACAAAAAAUGCAUCAUUAUGCACUGACACCAGCAACAUUCAAGGGGGAAAUAUUUGUGUGCAUCUGGGGUAUAUAGCUCAUCAGCCAAAAAAAAAAAAAAAUUGUAUAAACAAGAUCAGGAAAAACAAAUCUUCGCAACAUAUAAUGGGCUAACACUCAAGAAUCAAUUUCAGUGGGCAAAAGCAAACAAAUGUAGCACAUCAAGACAUCAUAUAAUUUAAAAAAUUAUCUAGUGAUCCAGAACAUAACCUAUUAGGAGCUGGAAAAGCUAGUGAUCUAACAAUACAAACAUUCAGAAACUACGACACCUUGAGUUUUCCCCACAGGAGGUGCCCACAGCAUGCAAAUGUUAAAAGGAUAGAUGAAGCACAGGUAGAGCUUUCUAUUUAAAAAAUGCAUUAAAAUGAUGAGAUGAAUAAGGAGCAUAAUUAUAAAUAUCAGGUACCCUUGACAAAUUGCCACUCUGCUGAAAGGGCAUUACAUGCUUCCAUGAAGAUAAAUGUUUAAUCAAUGAAAGCAUACUGCGAUAAAUUAAGAAACCCAACUGGAGUGGUACAUUUGUGCAAUGUUCAUAAAACACUUCAGAAGAAUGAUCACCUUAUCAUGGAACGGACAAUGAGAUUACGAAUGACAAUAUUGGUGGAAGGCCGACCAUAAGCAAUUCCGUACUGAUCCCAGCCACUCUUUACUGCAAUUCCAUCAUCUCCAACACUUAUAUAACUGUCCUCUAUGAUCAUAUUUUCACAUGAAUCUGCAUUGCCAGGAUGUCAAUUUUACACUAUAGAGUCUAACAUUUGCUUAAAAGAAUGGCACAUGCAGAUGGUCUAUGAAUAGCCUAGAUAUUCACAGCAUAAUAAGGAAAAGAAAAUUUUGAAAAAAGUUGUAGGGCAUACAACAUAGCAUCACAAUAUUGAACUCAUAUUUAUCCAACCCAAUGACAGUCAUUGGGUUACUAAACACUCUUAACAAGCUAACUACAAUGACAUUCUGAUUCUUCCAGGUCCAACAUCUAUCAUAACUGAACACCAUUUUGGCUAGGCACUAAAAAAUGUCAUACUAAUUGCUACAAUUUAGCACGAAAGAAUUACAACAUGCCUAGAAGUAAGUAUACCAGAAGUAGCACCAAUUUUCUGAUCAAGAUUACCAAAAAGACCAGCAGUUUCUGUAAGUUGGAAGGUAAAGCAAGAAAGAAGAAUGAAACUCUAUGAAAAAGCAUAAAACAAUGCAAAUUUACCAGGAUCUAUUCCAUCAGUAUUUGGGGCUUCAGAAGAUGGAGCCAAAAUAGUUACAUUUCUGAUCGUCACAUUUUGACAAUCAUAAGGGUGAAGUGUCCAGAAUGGAGAAUCUCGCAAGGUAAUGUGAGAAAUCACAAUAUCCCUUGACCACAUAAUCUGCACAAGGGGGCCUCUGGUGUGAUUUAACCGAUUCUUCCUAUACUUCUCCCACCACGCUUUACCUUGUCCAUUGAUGGUACCAUUGUGCCCUGUUAUCAUUUGAAAGAUCACAGCACACCAACUCAACAAGCUAUUUCCAAUCAGAAUUUACUACUCGGCGCACUUUUGGAACCUUAUUAACUCUACUAACAUGCCAAAAAUGAUUGAUAUACGUACAAGAUUCACAAGCUCAUAAAAAUCAGAUCUGCAAGGAGUUUAAAUAAAAAUCUAAUUUCCAUAAUGCGAAACCACUUCAGAAUGACCAAAUUACCUGUAAUCACAACAUCCUUCAGAUUCUGGCCAUGGAUUAAACUUCCAUAACGAGGUCCAGGACGUUCUCUUCCAUAUCCAUAGGACGGCAAUGGAGGCAUCAGAGGCCAAUAAUUCUCAUCCUAUUACAUUUCAAGUCAGCUAAGUACAUUUUUUUUUUAACAAACAAAUGCAGCAGUAAAACAACAAAACCAGCAAAAAUAGCUGCCUAAUACGCCUUGAGGAGGCAACAAAGUAGGCGAGGGCGCUUACGUCAAUUCCAAGAAUAACAGCAUUCUCAGCAAGGAACAAUGUCAUGUGGCUAGUGAGAUUGAAAGGAGCAGUGAGCCAAAGACCAGGCCCAACAUUCAGCUGGCCGCCGCCUCGCUUGCGAAUUUCCGAGAUUGCCCUCUCGAAGGCCAUAGUGUUCAAGUAGACGCCAUCGCCGACAGCACCGAAGUCGGCGAGGUUGAACGCCAGACGUCUUAGCUUGGGAAUAGGGCGAGGGGGCGGGAAGAAGCGCUGGUCGUGGUAGGUUAAGAGGCGAUCGACGGCGGUUUUUUGCCAAAGGGCGACGAGGAUGAAUCCGGCAGUCCAGAUGAGGGUGAGGAAUGUUUGGUGCGAGGAGAGCAAGGACGGGAACAGGCGUUUGUAGUCGAGUCGUCGGGCGUGGACCCGAAGGGAAUCGGGCAUGGUUUUGGGAAUGGAAAUUGAGAAAUGGUGCGGGAAAAUGAUAAGUGGGAAUGAUCGGAAUGGAGAUUUAGUGAAGGAGAUGAGUGGAACUUGAAAGUUGAAAGCAAAGAUCGGAAUGGGACCAUGCAAAUAAGGGAAAAAUAAUUAUGGGAGAUUACUGCAAGUUUCAAGCCGAUUAGGGGUUUAAAUUUUAAUUGCAUAAAAUCAAAUGCUAAAAAUUGGACAAAGGAAAAGGAAAUCCCUAAAAGUAUAAAUUGGAACAGUAAUUUUUUAUAUAUUUUUUUUGUUUGAAAAACCUAAACCAUGAUAUUACCCACCAUUUGCCACGUACAAGUACAAAAACAAAUUGGUGGCUUAGAGACUUUUUAGCAGUGAUGCUCAUGGGCUGAGGAAAAUCGUAACUUGCAAGUGUGUUUAAUUUCUUGCGAUUUGAAUCAAGCGAGACAAAUUGUGGCAUCUUGCCAUCACAUCGGAUUUAAUAGUUCAACGCCUGGAAAGCUCCUUUUUUUUUAUUUUUAAGGGGGGACGGCUAGAAAGCUUUUGAUGGUGGUCGAUCUUUCUCAAAAUCUCAGUUACUGAUUCACAGAAACCAGCAAUUUCGCUGAUCUCGGCGGACAAGGAAAAAGGUUUCAAGUAAAACUGGUAACCAGAGAAUGAAAAGCAAAAGCAGCGCAUACUCAUAAAGCCAUAAAGCAAAAUCUAGAGCUUGGAAGCCAAGCGAAGCAAAGCUUAGGGGGUUAUAAAAGUAUAUGAAAAGCUAAACAAAAGCCGUUCUUACUAUUAACAACAAAAAAUAAUAUGACCAUGAUUGACAACACAACCCUCAUCACCAAAACCCAACUUAUCCCUUUCCACGAGGGAGAAUUCACUUAAUCGGCUACAAUUUUAUCAUUUGGCUUUCCAAAAAAAAAUUUCACAUCCUCCUACUCAAGCAGUGAGGGCUAAACUAACCUACUUGAUAUUCAAAAGUCUAUAUCUCAGAUUUUCCUCCUCCAGGUUCCAAGAGUGAUAUAGUCAAAAUGAAAUCAGCAGCCAACCAUGGUGCUAGAAGAAUUUCAAUUUCCCCUUGCCUACAGCUGCCUUUGCCUGCUGCAGAUGACAUGCUGCUUUUUGAGCCCUGGAUAAUCCAGAGCACGAGUCACUGCCACCCAGGGUUACUGCAAAGUAGAGGUAAACAGUGCAGAGAAAAGCUAGAAGAGCCAGAGCAGUAAGGAGGAAGCGGUGCCGCUGAAUGAGGGUUGAGCAGUUCCCGAAUUCAUCCCCACGUGACAUCUGUUUUUUAAGCAUUGGUGAAGAAAACCCACUCUGAGGUUGAGAUCUCCUAUGAGGUGAAGUUAUGAUGCUGUCAAUAGCAGCCAUUUUCUACACAGUAAGCUUCUGCUACCACUUCAGCUUGUCUGCACCUGCAUCAAUCUAAACUUAAGGACAGGCACCAUAUUCAAGCAAAAUUCAUCACAACACAUUAAUGAAAUUCAAUACAGAAAAUAAAAAAAGUCUUUGGUAUGCAAAAUAACAGCUAGCAUUCACACAAAGCCAGAUCAACUAGCAAAUUGAGUGAGAAUUAACAUAGAACAGAGACAAGAUGUAUGACUUCAUUAUACAAAAGUAAUUAGAAAUACAUCAUUAAAUAAAUCAAUGAUUUCAAUCAUCUAUGGAGCAAUAAUAGAUCAAAAACAGAAUUAUCCACCACAAUAACAGUUCUCCUUUAAGGCACACUGGUACGUCAUAAGGAGAUGAGCCCUCAGUGGCAAUCAGAAUACUCUCCUCAUGAAAAUUCACCAUGAUAUAAUCUCAAUCAUCUGGAAUCAUACAGGCAAUAAAAGAGAUUGGCUAGCGUUUACUAUAACCAAAAGCAGGGGCAGCAUAUCAAAAGUGCUUGCUUUACUGUCCCAUUUCAGAUAUUCAGUCCACAAUAUUAAACUCACAAAACCACAGCAAUUAAAAUGUAACUUGCUGUUUGAGAGAGAGGAGAACACCUAGUAGCCAAAGAACAGGAAGUUUUCGAGAUCAAUUUAAUCCCUGUUUGCUUACUUUAUCCCUUCCAGAUGAGCAGGGCUGUUCAAACAUUCUGGUAAGGGAGCUUAACAUGGAAGUAUCCAAGCAUGAUCAACAACCAUUUGAUCAUGUGAUCACUUGACACCCUGGACUUUUACAUUCAUAAUAACAAAAUGGCGCUAAAACGUCAAUGUUCUGGACUUUUAUAUUCAAUGUGUUAAAAGGUUCACCCACUUCUAUACUGAAUAAAGGCGUUAACAUGGCCAACCUCAUGUGAUAGCUCUGGCUGUUAUUAGGGUUGAAAAUAUAAAGAGAAAGAUACUACAAACAUAAUCUGAGAAGACGACUGAGAAAAGUUUGACAGCCCAAAAUUACAAUUGCAGGCAAUAUAUGAAAAGAUGAUCACUCAUACUAAUCAAACACCUGAAGGCAAAGAAUAUGGUUCAGUCAUUUCAUCCAAUUUUAUUCUUCUCUUUCAUCCGGCAGAUUAAAUAGUGUCAGUCAAACAUUGCUGACUCCAUGACAUCCAGUCUAGAAAUGAUAUCCAAUUCCUUCCUAGCGUAAUUAUCAAAAAGGCCGUAUCAGAACUACAAGCUCAAAACACACACUCCUCUUUGCUCCAUCUGCAAUCCUUGCUUAGAGUUAGAGCACGGCACAAUUCAACCAUCAGUGAGAUCUGAGAAAAUGCACCAAACUACGAUACAAUGCCUUAGCCCUCGCAAGUUGUAAAAUGUAACCAACUCAUCUUAGCACUGGAAUUACCUCUGAAACACAAACAAUCACCAAAUACUCCAUAUAUCCUGAUGGAUUCCCGAGAACGAACCAAAGCUUCUAGAUCUUAUGUGACUAGUUUUAUACACGCAAGUUCAUACCCAAAUUUGAGUCCACAAUUGACCUCCAAAUUCACAUUCGCUUCAAUCAAAUCUACUAACGGAACAGUAUAAAAAAUCGCAGACAAACAAAAAUUAAUCACAAGUUUUAACACACCAAAACUAACAGCUAAAAAUAUUCCACAAAGGAGUUCCCUCAAAUUCACAGCUGGAAAAUGAGAUUCCACAUUGCAGUCGGCAAUACAAAUCACAUGAUCAAAAUUUAACAAUAUAAUGCGGCAAAUCAACGCGUAAAUCAAAAGGAGCAGAUCUGUAAAAAGAAGCUUCACGACAUAGUUAAAGGAACAACCCAAAACAAAAAUGCGCCAAGGAAUUUACAGACGAGUUUCGGCCAUUAGGUACAUAGAAUUAGAUAAACACAAAACGAGAGAGAGAGAGAGAGAGAGAGAGAGACUUACGACCGAAGAAAAAUGAAGAGAAAAGGAUAGUUGAACCGAUCAGAGCUGAUGCACUCCGGAUUUUAAUCUUCCCUUCAGGUAUAAUUAAUGUUCAGAAGAAAUCAAUCAAUAUUUAAUCAAAAUCUUUAAUUGGGACAAUAAUAAAUAGUACUAGCAGAGUAUUCCUUUUCUGUUUUGUGGGCUUUUUUCUUCCGGUUGCUCGAAAUCCGUGUGCGUCGGGGGGCUGGCGUUUCGGGUGGAUGUGAGGAGGAGAGCCUGCCCGCCCACACGCACACACGCACUUCUUUCCAAACUACUGACCGGAGACAGGAGACUAUCAAAAAAUCUUUCCGCUGCUACUUAUAUAUGGUAACUAAGAUUGGACUUUUAUUGAUGUAUUGUGGAAAUGGACGACGCGUUCCCCUAAUUAACGAGAGAGAUAGGAAUAGGAUAGGAGGAGAAAAAAGCAAAAAAAAAAAAAAAAAAGGUAAGAGUUGCGGCACCUUUUUGGGUUUUGGGAUAGUAUGAUUUUGCGUGUGCGAUUUGACUGGGAACCUUUUUCUGAUAUUUUGCGCGUUUUUUCCUUUUUCUUUUGGACAGAAAGGGAAUGGUAUUUAUUUAUGGGUUUUGGGGAAUCGGAUAUUAUUUUAUAUGGGACCCCAAUACGGGUCGGGUCGGGUCGGGUCAUGGCUAUGGCAAAAUGAUCAAUGAUGACGAUUGUCUGAUGGACGUAGAAGGUUGGGGGAAAGGUCCGUUAAUUAGUCCGGCUAUUGGAGGGGUCGUAGGGUCAUAUCAAUUUCUGUUCCAGCCUCCAAAUGGGGUGCUACUGCUACCCACGUAUCUUUGACUUGUCUGGAGCCUGGACAGGUCAAACGGGGUGCUCCAAAUUUAGGUGGUGUUCGGUAAAAAAAUGGAGGGUUAGGAGCUAGUGUCAAAGUUCGUGAUUCAUUUCAGUCAUAUAUAGAACGAAACACAUUUCAGUUUCAAAUGUUAUGGUAGCUGACACACACAAAAAAAAAAAAAAAAAAAAAAGAAGCACAUUUCAGUUUCAAACUAUAACAUGUAAGAAGAAAUCGCUCCAAUCCAUGCCUACACGGGAUUUAAAAAUCGAUGAGAAGGUAGGGCGAUUAGAAUAAAAAACAUCAAGAUUUUAAUUUUAAUCACUAGAUCAAAAUCUCCUCAAAUUACGGUCGACUACUCAUAUAUUUUUCAUUACAUGCUAGGAGGAGAAGGAAAAGGUUGGAAUCCAGCAGACAAACAUGCAAUUUGUUUGUUUGAUUGUUACUCUUUGUUUUUCUUUUUUGUCUUAAAAAGAAUAAUAAUAUAUCAAUAGCAGAAGAUAAAACUAAAAGUUGCAAAAUUUGGACAGUGUAACACACAAACAUUACAAGGGAUGCUUCUACACUUAAGCUAUUUGAGAUAAAUCUAACAAAUUGUUGUUUUAUUUUAUUAUUACUCAAAGGAAAUUAGCUGCUUUUCACCCCCACAAAUGCGUAAAAAAGAAAAUUUUUGCAUUAGAAGAUUCAAAGGAUCAUAGAGCACAAGGAAACAUUUCCGUGAUAUUAGGACUUUAACGCAAUUAUCGUUUGUUUGGAUAGGAGUUUAUUUGGAUGAUUUAUUUGAGAUAAUUACUGUAGCACUUUUUGUGAUGUGAUGUAUGUGAGAUAAAAAGGUGAUUGGAAUCUGUGAAGCAAAUUAUUUUAUUUCAAUCCAAACACACAUGUUUUUUUAAGAUCAAAUUACAUUAAAGAAAAAUUUUGGGUCAAAAAUAACUAACUGGUGUAGGGUACCUAACAAUACAACACUUCGUAAGACCGAGCCCAACCCGUUUUCUUGGCUGAUUUUAAGCCGUCAAAGCCCAUACUCAAAACUCGCCCAAUUUAGGACCAAUCUCUCAAGUCUCAAUAGUGGAAUACAACCAGGUCCUCAUUCCAAAGUUACCAGAGUCAUCGUUCAUCAAUGGAUUCUUUCUUCUAGUCUUUCCCAAUUUCUCCCCUUCUUCCAUCCGCCUUUGAUCAUCUAAUUCCCCUUACCUUUUCACCCUCCGAUCACCAGAAAAAGAGCAAAAGGUACAACUAAAACCUAAGCCAUCUAUUUCACCGGGAAUUACACCAAUUUUGCACUAGUUUGUUUGUUUUUUUUUUAAAAAUAAAUUAUUGCCAUUUAGUCACUGCAUCUGUUAUUUCUAGGGUUUGAUCAAUCAGUGCUGGACGGUUUUUGAUCAAUCUGUUAAAGUAGUGGAAGCUAAAGAUGUGGGCAGCUACAUGCCUAGCGUCAUGCUGCGCCGGGUGCGCCUGCGACGCCUGCCGGACGGUGGUGUCCGGAAUCAGCCGUAAAUCGGCUCGGAUUGCCUACUGUGGCCUCUUUGCGUUAUCGUUAAUCGUUUCUUGGAUUCUUAGAGAAGUUGCUGCACCUCUCAUGGAAAAAAUCCCCUGUAAGCAGCCACUGGAUUAUCUGUCUUUUACUAGCAAAAUUUCUCUUUUUUUUUUGUUGCAUGAUUUUUGGGUGAAUACGCAUUAUCUUAGUGUUGGACUAGUUGCAGGAGGAAAGAAUUCUGAUUUAUAAUUGUGUACUUUAGGGCAAAUUUGGUCUUAAGUUGGAGACGUAGCUGAAUUUUUGUAUAGUUAACGUGGUUCAUUUAUUCUAGAUACCAGUUCAAUAUCCAGGCAGUGCUUUUUUAAGUGCUACUAGUUAAGAUUAUUAAGGUGGUUAUCAAGUAUGAAAUGAAAAACAUAUGAAAAGGGCUUUGCGAGCUGAAGAGUUAAAAAGAAUGAUCUUUUUGAUAGGGAAAAGAAGUGAUCGAAUGAGAGACUAGGUGGACAAUGAAAUACUACCUUGUGGUUCAGGGCCUUGUUUUGCCAUCUUAAAACAUGAAUUUCAUAUUGCCUGCUUCUCUCUCCUUCUUUGUUCAUCCCUUCUGAAGGGGAAUCUAUUUUAAAAAAUGUCUUCUGUUAAGUUUGAGUUUCUAACUGUUGCUUCAGUGGCCUGUACUGCACAGUUACGUGUCUCUGCAGCCUGGUUAGCCAACUAAAGGAAAAUGUAUCUUCGUUUUGAUUUUCUUUUGAUGUAUUUUGCUUUUCUGGGAAAUUGGAGAAGGAUAUAUAUAUUCUGUAGCUCAAACUUUUACUUUGUUGAGCAAUUUUAAACUCGCAUUGACUUUGGUUCAUAAAAACAAGUGAAUUCUGCCCUUGAUCAAUUUUACUUGGCUUCUCAUCUGCUAUGCUGCCUACAUAUAUUCAUAGACCUCUAGGAACCAGGUAAUAAAUUGAGAGAGAGGCAAAUAAGGGGGGAAAAAUUUAAAUUGUCAAUAGGCAUCAUUGUUUUAUUCCUAAAUCAGUUAUAAUGAAGAUGACAGCUAUUUGGUUUUCUCCCCAGGGAUUAAUCAUUUCCAUCAAACACCGGAUAGAGAGUGGUUUGAAACAGAUGCUGUGUUGCGAGUUAGUUUGGGAAACUUCUUAUUUUUCACGAUUCUAGCUGUCUUCAUGAUGGGCAUAAAAAACCAGAAGGAUCCUCGGGAUAGUGUGCACCAUGGCGGAUGGAUGAUAAAGAUCAUUUGUUGGUGUCUUCUUGUGAUUUUGAUGUUUUUUGUUCCAAAUGAAAUCAUUAGCUUCUAUGGUAAGCCAUAUCUUUUUGAGGUUUUCCCAUGGUUAUGGAUUGUCCUUGUCCUUAAAGUUUCUUUAUAUGUGGUGUUAAUUGAUUUGGGGCAAAUGCUUCACGUAAUGGAUUAUCCAUUGUUGGAAAAAUGGUAAAUUUGUAUUACAAUCUUUGGAUAAUGGCCAACUAAUCCUCAUCUCUCUUUCCUUUUGCAAUUUUUUCUUUUUUCUUCAUGACCUGGAGUAUGCUUAGUAUUUCAUCUGUUAAACGCAGAGACAACAUCAAAGUUUGGUGCGGGAUUCUUUCUUCUUGUUCAAGUUGUGCUUUUGUUGGACUUUGUUCAUGGAUGGAAUGACAAAUGGGUCGGCUAUGAUGAGAAGUUUUGGUUAGCUUACUUUGUUUUAUAUUAGCAGUUCUCACUUACUUCUAGACCACCAUUUUGUUCAAGAUUCUAUUACUUUUACCACACUUUGAUUUAGAUUGGCUCUUCUAACUAUUUUUAAUGUUGUUCUUUUUCUGUUUCUUUCAUUCAUGUAUUGCAGGUAUAUGGCUUUGCUCGUCAUCUCUCUUGUGUGCUAUGUGGCAACUUUUGCCUUCUCUGGGCUUCUCUUCUAUCUUUUUACUGCUUCUGGACAUGACUGUGGGCUCAACACUUUCUUUAUUGUGAUGACUCUGAUCUCUGUGUUUGCAUUUGCUGUGGUGACACUACAUCCAUCAGUAAGUUUCUUAGAUUUCAUUCUCUGACCAGAAGUAUUAAAUAUCCUUUUCCUUGGUCUUUUUUAUUUGGGGUAUAUUAUGUACUGAGCUUCCUUAAUUCUAAUGGAAUUAAGUGCAUAGAUGUUCAACAUGGGUAAGAUGUGAUAAUGCUGCAUUUAAGUAGUUCUUGAUGAUAUUGCUCACAACUGAAAUUGGCACAAAUAGGUUGGUGGGAGCAUCUUGCCUGCUUCAGUUAUUUCAUUGUACUGCAUGUAUCUCUGCUAUAGUGGACUUGCCAGCGAACCAAGGGAUUAUGAGUGCAAUGGCCUUCACAAGCAUUCAAAAGCUGUUUCCACUAGCACACUAACUAUUGGUCUACUCACCACUGUGCUCUCUGUUGUUUACUCUGCUGUUCGGGCUGGAUCUUCUACAACCUUGCUCUCCCCCUCCCCUCCAAGCUCACCCCGGGCAGGUGAGGAUCUUAUUUCAUUGUGUCGAGCAAAGAUGCCUAGGAUCUGUUUCAAUAAUAUGGACUAGAAAUACAUCAAUUUCAUUGAUGUUUGUUGCCAGUAACUUGGUGUUGGAAUGGCUUCAAGAUUAUUUGAGUUGAAGUAAACUAAAACAAGACAUUUUCAUGAUCUUUGUUACCCUUUUUCUCGAUCAUACAAAGUGAACUGUAACAGGAAUGUUUGAUAUUUUUGUUCUUGGUUUUUGUAUUGUAUGGUCUCCUUUCCUUUCUGAAUAUGCAAAGCUUAGAAGGAAUGUAACUAUUAAGUUGUUGGAUGUCAGUUCAAGAUACUGGUUUUCUCCUUCAGUUUUCUCCGUGUUUAAAAUGGAGUUGUAGUGUUGAUUACAAUUUGUGAAGCUCAAUAGGUGUACCCUAUUUGUCUCUGGUUUGCUAUUUGUUGGACUGGUCAAUUGUUUCCUCUGACCGACCUACUAAAAUGUUUUUCCACUACCUGCUACUUAACUUCUGGCGUUUAGUUAUAUGUGGUUUUGUGGUGUUACCGAAAAGAACUCCUUAGUCCUAGUCACUUCUUUGCAGCAAAAUUUAGUGAGAUAUUUCGUGAACAGUGUCUGACUAUUGGAUUUUUACCAAUGAAGGGAAACCAUUAUUACCAUUAGACAAGGCAGACAAAGAGGAGGAGAAAGAAAAGGCCAAGCCAGUUACAUAUUCGUAUUCCUUCUUCCACUUGAUCUUUUCACUUGCUAGCAUGUACUCUGCAAUGCUCCUUACAGGAUGGUCAACUUCAGUGGGAGAGAGCGGGAAGUUGGUUGAUGUGGGGUGGCCAUCUGUUUGGGUCCGAAUUGUAACAGGUUGGGCAACCGCUGCGUUGUUCCUGUGGUCACUGGUUGCACCUAUUUUAUUCCCAGAACGCGAGUUCUGAUUUAUUGUUCGGAUACUUGGUGGCUGUCUGUGUAAAUGUUUGCAAUGACUGUUGUGGGAAGUCAAACAUGUAAUCACCUCGUUUAGUAGAAAGCAGAAUGUCGUACGGUUGUGCUGCAUUAAUGUGUUGAAAGCUGUGGAUGGAUGGCUUUAAAUCUCGCAGUGGAAAAAUUGUUUAAGCUUGUGUUCAUUACUUGUUGAGAGUUGAAUUUUGAUUUUGAUCUGGAUGUGCUGUAGCGAUUCAUUAAUUUUCUGCCUUAUUUUUCUGUCAUAGCCGGCAUAAAGGUCAGCCUUGCUAUGUUCACCGGUUAUCGCUACUACACUUGUGCUCGUUUUUAACAGAAAGCUGUUCAAUAUAAACAAAAAAUAUGUGGUUUUCGCUUUUACUGUUUUGAGAAAAAUGAAAGCAUGAUAUUUGUCUUUUAGGCUGUUGGAAAGUAACACUUUGCUAAAACACCACCAAGAUGGCAAGAUUACUUAUCUAAGUUCCUUCUCUUCUUAAAAAAAAAAAGAAAAAGAAAAAGUUCCGACUCACGAAUACAUAAAUAAAAAAUGGAAAGAAAACCUCAAAAUGAUUUUCAAAUUGAAGUGAAUUAGAGUCAUUGAAAAUAAUAACUAAACAAGUGAAGGCCCAGUAUUCUUUCUUACAUGGGUUUCAAAGACGUAUUCUGCAGCUAAACGCCACAGAAGCUGAAGGAAAUAAUAGGAAGUCAGAAGAAGAAUUGGGUUGUCCUACACUCAUCUGAACUAGGAGACUUGGUUCAAUGGCGCCGCGGCUUUUCCUGUGACUGAAUGAACUCUCAGCAAUUCACUGUGUUGAAGGCUUAUUUAAAUAACCAAUGCCAUUAAACCCAUAAAAUAUUCAAAUGCGUGUCAUUAAUUUUCAAAUUGACUGGGAUGUUGGGAUUGAGCUCUGAGCGGGUAAUAAAAACAUUUCUUUGAUUAAGUACACAUUUCCAAGGUUCAGUCUUUACUACUACUACUUCUGCCAUGUUUCAUUUCUGAGGUUUACUUGGUUUGUUUGUCCCAGUCAUAGCGUAUUCUCCUAUAAGAGGCACUGCUAUUCGGCAUUGUUAACAUAUGUAUAUGCAGUGCGAACCUUUUGAGAUUAGAAAAACUUCUUUUUCUUCCAUUUUUUUGCAUUGCUAUCUUCUCCCCCUGUAAUCAAGAAGCCUCUCAUGGCAUCUAUGCUGGCUCUUAUUGGGCUGUUUCUGCUUACUCUCAGAAUAUCACGUGCAGGGGCACAGUCAAUAGGCGUCUGCUAUGGAUUAAAUGGCAACGAUCUACCUUCUACGCAGGAUGUUAUAAAUCUUUACAAUGAAAAGGGCAUUGCAAAAAUGAGAAUAUACGCCCCAUUUCCACAAGUCCUCAACGCUCUAAGAGGAAACAACAUAGAACUUAUUGUCGAUGUAGCCAACGAAGACAUUGAGCCCCUUGCAUCAGAUGCUUCAGCAGCCGCUCGCUGGGUUCAAGACAAUGUCUUGCGCUACGUACUAGAUGUUCAAUUCAAAUACAUAGCUGUCGGAAAUGAAGUGUUGCCUAAUUUUGACAAUGCUAAGUACAUUUUUCCUGCCAUGGAAAACUUGCAAAACGCAAUCAUAGCAGCGGGUCUUCAGGACCAGAUCAAGGUCUCAACGGCAACAUACACAGCUCUCUUAGCUGUUUCCUCUCCUCCUUCACAAGGUUCCUUCGGGAAUGAUUCGAAGCUAUUUAUGAAACCUAUAAUUAAUUUCCUGGUACAAAAUAAUGCGCCAUUACUAGUCAAUAUAUAUCCGUACUUCGGCUACAUUGGUGAUCAAGCCAAUGUUGGGCUUGAAUAUGCACUAUUCACCUCGCCUGGAAUUGUUGUUCAAGAUGGUUUGUUGGGAUAUCAGAACCUUUUUGAUGCUAUGUUGGAUGCUCAUUACUCUGCUCUGGAGAGAGAAAGUGGUAGUAACGUUGAGAUCGUUGUAUCGGAGACUGGCUGGCCAUCUAGCGGAAAUCCUCCUGCUGCUUCAUUAAAAAAUGCUGGAAUUUACUACAACAAUGUAGUCAAUCAUGUGAAGGGAGGAGUGGGGACUCCAAAGAGGCCUGGAAGGGUUAUAGAAACGUAUUUGUUUGCCAUGUUUGAUGAAAAUGAGAAGCCAGGAGCUCAGACGGAAAGGCAUUUUGGCCUCUUCAGUCCUAACCAACAGCCCAAGUAUUCAAUUAAUUUCAAUUAAUCAGAGUACAAUAUAACUAGCAAUGUCAAUAACAGCUCGUAACAGCUCCUCAGAAGUCUUGCUACUCAUGUGGUCUGUUAAUUUGUUGUUUGGCUUUAUUUCUUCAGCCUUCUCUUCCUUUUCUUUAAUUCUUUCAGAGCCAAUACCAUUUCUUCUUCUUUUCCCUCCCUAUAAAAAGGGCUGCUACGGUGUGCCCACACAAAUUAGGAUUAUAAAUCCUUCGACUUUUGAGUUUGUCUUUAAUUUUCCUUUUUUUUUUCCCCAAACUUCAGAUCAUUAGACUCUACUCAAUAAUGAUCGCCAAAGCUCUAAAGCCAUCUACGCUUUCACUUCUUGGACUGAUCCUGCUUCCUUUCACUAUAUCAGCAGGUCAAUAUCCAUCUCUUUCAAUAUAUAUAUAGCUAUGUAUAUGUAUUUGGUCCGAGCAUGAUUGCAUGAAUUUAUGUCUGCGAGAAAGCCUACUAGUUAUCAUUUUUUGGUUUCUUGUUUUCUGGUAGAAAAUGAUAGAAAUAUUCAAAACUUUGUACAUGAAAUUAUUCAUUUGGUGAUAUGAUGAAUGAGUUCACAUUUAUAUGGCUAGUGAUGCUCAAAUUAAUGAUAGCAACUGCAUUUGACACCAACAUACGUCUAUACAUGAUCUUUCUUAUGCAGGAGCACUGCCAAUAGGUGUCUGCUAUGGGCUGAAUGGUAACAAUUUACCUUCAAAACAGGAUGCUAUAAAUCUAUACAAGGAAAAAGGCAUCACAAAAAUGAGAAUUUAUUCCCCAGUACCAGAAGUUCUAAAUGCUCUAAGAGGGAGCAACAUAGAACUCCUCGUCGAUGUAUCAUUCGAAGAUGUUAAACCACUUGCAACAGAUGCUUCAGUAGCUCCUAUCUGGAUUCACAACAAUGUACAAACCUAUUGGCCUGAUGUCAAGUUCAGAUACAUAGCUGUAGGUAAUGAAGUGACCCCUGAAUCUGAAUAUGCUCCAUUCAUCGGUCCUGCCAUCGAAAACUUGCACAAUGCAAUUGUAGCAGCAGGUCUACAGGAACAAAUCAAGGUCUCAACUUCAACAUAUCCUCCUCUUUUAGGUGCAUCCAACCCUCCAUCACAAGGUUCAUUCAGCGAUGUUGCCAAACCAUUCAUCAAACCUAUUAUUGAUCUCCUAGUCGGACACAAUGCACCAUUGCUUGUCAAUAUAUACCCUUACUUUACCUAUCUUGGUAAUCAAGGCAACGGAGAGCUUGAUUAUGCAUUAUUCAGGUCACCUGGAGUUGUUGUUCAAGACGGUUCAUUGGGGUAUGAAAACCUUUAUGAUGCAAUGUUGGAUGCUUUUUACUGGGCUCUGGAGAAAGAAGGUGGAAAUACUGUCGAGAUUGUUGUGUCAGAGACUGGCUGGCCAUCUGAGGGAAGUUCUGCUUCUUCAGUGGAAAAUGCUGGAACUUACUACAAAAAUUUGAUUAAUCACGUGAAGGCAGGAUCAGGGACUCCGAAGAGGCCUGGAAAGGCCAUAGAGACCUAUUUGUUUGCCAUGUUUGAUGAAAAUGAGAAAACAGGACAUGAGACUGAGAAACAUUUUGGCCUUUUCACUCCAAACAAGCAGCCCAAAUAUGCAGUUAGCUUCAACUAAUUGGUUAUUGAUCUAUAUCUGAUCUUAACUAAAUGUGCGAUGUUUGACCUAUAUUUUGGUUUGUAUCUUUCGAUGACAAGAGGGGAAAGAUUAUAAUAACGAAGUUAAACCAAGCUCUUCUCAUUUUCUAAAUUUUAUAGAAGUUCUUUUGGAUUCAAAUUUUAUAGAAUUUUAUACCGUCUUGCUCUUAAUACCUCUUGUUCGUCGAGAAUUUGAAUAGGGGUUUGAAUAAGAAUCGACUAUAGAUUUUAGUGAACUCAAUAAAGAAUCUUUAAAGAUUAUUCAUGAAUCUUUAAUUCCUGUGAUGUUUUCGUUCUAGUUUGUAUUAACUAUAUUAUUGUUAUGGAAUGUAUUCUUCAUGUCUUAUACUCUCUAUAUAUAUUUUUUUUAAAGAUUAAUCUUUCCUACACUGAUAAUGUAUACAGUAUCAGCGUUGAAUAAAUGACAACUAUACAAAAUUUAAAUUUAAAAUUCAAUUUUUGCACAUAUAUCAUGGAUCCAACGAUGAUAGCGUUACACUGUGAGUGUAUAUAAGAUUUACUCUUCUUGUUAAUCGUAUAAUUUCUCAAUUCAUAGGCGAGCUUGAAAGUCUUGAAAUUUACAUGUAAUAUUAACUUUACAUUUUUCUCUUUGAAGUUCCUAGCUACAAAUAGGAAGCCGCGAAAGUUUAUGAGAACAAUUUCAUAUUGUACUCUUUAACUAUGCAAGUAAAAAUUGUAUUCAAGUGUUAAACUGAAGUCUUGCAUUAACACUCACAAAGGCACACCUUAAGAUGAUAAAUCCUUAAUUACCACAAAAACAUUUUAAUUAAACAUAAUGUCUUGUGCUUGUGCUCGUGGAAUUAGUGAUGCUUAAGCAAAAAUUUCGAACUUUUGUGGUGCAAUUCAUCAGCAAAUUUCUUAUUUUCAGGAGGAGAGGGUGGGAGGGAAGAAGCAAGAAAUGGAGGGGAAAUGAGACGGCAAAGAUCAAAAUCUCGCAAGACUAUAAAAAUCUCAAGCUUUUCAUAAAUGUGUGUAUAUAUAUAUAUAUUUGGUAUGUAUGAUGAACCUUUAUCCCUGGUUUGCACUAUUAUUGAGCUAUUAUUGCAAAGAAACUGGAAACUCGAGCACAAGAAAUCCUUUUUCGUACAAACAUCAAUUGAAUAUCCAUGUGCUCAACCCACAACUUCAGUUGUGUAGCCCAUAAAUGUCCCACCGAUGAUUUCUUGAGGUCUAACGUGGCUUUCUCUUCCAAUAAUCAAAUGAAAGGCACUGACUAUAUGUGGAUGGAUGGACCUAGAAUUCCACCUUUUACAAACAAGUCAUGUUCUACCAUGGAUCUAUCUUUGCCUGAUAAUAAUAAUUAUUGUACCACCUUACCAAAACAGAGGAAUACACGAAUUGCUGCGACGACAAAUGCAAAAUGGACAUGCACAACCUUUUCGUGGAUACCCACAGCCAACUGCCCAGCAAACGAUACAGAUAACAGUCCACAACCCUUGUUUGCAAAGAAAAAAAUGAACUCACAAAUCCAGGCAAACAUGACAAGAUAUGAAGGGGCAAGUUGGAAGAUUAGAUCAACCAUAUUUGAAGUUCUGAAAUCGCUAGACACUAGGAAUUAGGUACUAGAUAUCCACUCUUUUUUAGAAUGCAAAAUGAGCAUUUAUAGCGGAUAAGAGUGGCUCGGAAAAGGGAAAUGACCCAACCUGCCCGGUCAAUUACAAGCAUACAAAGUAGAGGAGAGACUGCAGAACAUCUUGUUCAGCUAGUUUCAUGCUCUAAGAUUGCUGUCCCGUAUGGGCGUGGGAAAUGAGACCCUUUUAUCUGAAUUAAAAUCUUAAAAAGUCAUUAUUGAUUUGCAUGCCUCGUAACCAAUAUUCAGCCAGGAAAUGAUUGCAGGCGAUUGCGAUAAUUAUCAAAGAAAUGGAAACCUUGCUUAGUGUUGAGCUUUCUGAACUCCAAUCUAACGUUCUAUACCAGUUUCCAGAAAAACCACGAGCGAGGUUAAUUGCAGUAGUCGAGGGAUGGGACUCGAGAAAAGGAAGAGGGGGGGGGGGGGGGGGGGAGAGAGACGAGGGGAGGGAGGGAGGGGGGGGAUUUAAGGGAAAAUGAUACAGAACCAUACAACCGCCUUAACAAUGUCUCUAUAAUUAGGAGCCAUCAGAAUGUAAAACACAGAAGUUUGACAAACUCCAGGAAACACGAUCUUCAAAAGUUCCGGACUAUAACUAUACGUAAUAAAGAAUCUUCAAAUAGAAUGUUUCCGCGUUCAAUCUUCAUAAUCUCCAGCAUUCUCAAGUAGAUAAUUGAUUGCCAGUUCCUCGUUGCGGUCACAUGCUAGGAAGGCCUCAAUGACAAGG
This 87069-nucleotide long non-coding RNA is filed under the name Coffea arabica (coffee). RNAcentral describes it as "long non-coding RNA (CARA_LNC003066)". The record is from RNAcentral. Lineage: Eukaryota; Viridiplantae; Streptophyta; Magnoliopsida; Gentianales; Rubiaceae.